GGUGUGGGCCGCCGUAUGAGAAACAUGGAAAUGAGUGGGCCGACACCACCAUACGUGUGGGUGAGUUUUCUAUUUUUUUCUACUCUUGUUUUCCUAUUUUCACUUUGGAGAUUCAGUUUCAAUCGAAGUUGUGAAUCUCAAAUUUCAUUCAAAUGCAACACAUAAAAUACCAGCAUGAAUGCAAAAGUAUAUUUUAUAUAUAACAUAUAUUUGUUUUAUUAUUUUUUUGUUCUUUUAUUCAUGAUUCUAAUUAUGAAAUAGAGAAUGGUUCACAUCUCAUGAAUUUUUAGGGAAAUAUAAUGUAUACUGUAGAUUAUAUAUUAAGAUAUAGUUUAAUCAUAAUUCUUCUAAUUUCACUCCAAGAAUAAUUUAGUUUAUCUGGUAUCUUUUUAUUUUAGUAAAAAAAAUAUAUUAAUUUUUUUUGGAGUAGUAACUUUUGAAAUUAUGAAUGUUCUCAAGGAAAGGUGUUUUGAUUUUAAAACCCCCGAGAGGAUUUUCCUUCUUUUCAGAGGAUUGAACUUUAGGGUGUUACAAAUCCUACCCCCCUUAACAAGAAUCUCGUCCUCGAGAUUAGUAAGAAAAGGGAUACAAAAGGAUUGGUGUGUAAUUCAUCUUUUAGUCUAUAAUUGGUUCAAAAAUCCAGAGUCUCAUUUUUUAGUCAAUAGUGGGCGAUUGGCAGACAUAGGUAUCCAGUUACUUAUUAUGUAGGAUAAAAGAUGUCUUUGAAGCAUAGAUAGGUUUGGGUAAGAAAGAGUAGGGUAAGGAAAGACUCCAUCCAAGAUUGUGGCUCUUGAUUCUUUUGAAGAUCUGGCUUGAAUCUUAUCCUUCCUUGAUUUGAUGAGGUCGAUCAUCUUCGAUUUUCGUUUUUGAAGUUGUUAUCCGAAUUAGGGACAUGUAGUUAAAAUAAAGUAGUAGGUGGAGCAGCUAGUUUAGUAGGUGGCUAUGAGUUAAAUGAGAUUAGUCGGAAUCUGGUUUGGAUGUUUUGCUUCUGAAUGGUUUGGAUAGGUUAUGUAACAUAUUAUGUAGGUCAAGUUAUUGGGUAUGGCCGAGUUGAUCUAAGUUACCAAAUUAGGCUUAAGUGAGUUAGGAGUAUUUCCUUAUAUUUUGUAACAGCAUUAAGUAACUCAAUCUAGCUUAGAUCAUUAUAGAUUAGAUAGAAUCCAGAUUAGGUUGGUAUGACUAGAUUAAACUAAUUAAGAUUAGAUAGAUCUACCAGGGUGGGAUAAAUAUUAUUAGGAUAUGCUAGAAUCUUUUAAGAAGGAUGGACAUUGUUUAGGCUAGAUAUUUUAAUGAGUGAUAAUCUAAGUUGAUUAGUUAUCUUAUGAAUUUUUUUAUUUAUAUUUAUGCCUAUAUGUAUAUGCAGAUGUAAUUGUGGACAUUACUCCACAACUCAUCACACUCAAUCAAAGAUCCAAAUCAGACAAGUAUCAUAAGAACAAACAUUCAAGUGCAUAGAUACACACAUAAAAAUAAUAUUUUUGUUUUUGUUCCUAAGAGUAGGUCUCCUAUUCCUAAAGGUCACUUUAGGUACAGGAUUUCAAAGUGUGAAAUCCACAGUUGUCUUUAGAAGGAAAAGGUAAGAAUAAUCAGAGUAAAGCGGAAAUAGAUGAGAAAAGAUUAAGAUAAGUUUAGAAAAGGAUCAGAGUAGCAAAGGUAAGUAGAUAAUGAUUGUCCAGUUCUAUCUAGGUUUUGUCCUACAGUCAACAUUCCUCUGAUACCACUUCUGUCACACCCGGAUUUUAGGGGUCCAAAGCCCGGGCGUAAACAUAAUCACCAGGUGUGCUGGGACCAAGUCUCACACAUAUGAUGAAUCAUGGCACAGGAUCGAAUGUCACAUCUUUACUACAUAACAGGAGUUCUAUACAAAAUAAUUAAGUAUUUACAUUAUAAGGAGACAACGGUCCAGCAACCCAAAGUUGGCUGGGAGACGACGACCUAGACCUCUCACGAACUCGCACAGCAUCCUUCAAGCGCCUCGUCCUGUGGUACCUGUUCUUGACCUGUGGGGGGGUGUGAGACAGCAAGAGUGAGCUCACAUACGUUCAUCGCUCAACAAGUUGUGGGGAAUAAUGUGCAUGAACUCGCCAAAGGUGGGAGCUCACGUGAAGUGUAAGGCUUACCAACGGAGAUGGUUGAAGCUGAGCAUUGCUUUUAAAGUUGGUCAAAAUUUUAUUAGCAAUUACUAAGUAUAAGUAAAUACCAACCCAAUUAAGUAGUAGAACAGAAGUAACAACAUCACCUGUGAUGCAAUGCAUAUGACAAAUUGAAUUUAAGUUCCAUAGAUUAAUCAUGUGAGGGUCCGAGCCGCUCAUGACCGUGAGCACGGCUAGUAUACCAGUUUUACACUCUGCAGAGGUUGCGCAUCUUUACCCACAAGUCAUGUUACCCAUCUGCCAAGGGAUCGCGACUUCCCAUACACCUCUACCAAGGAGGCGAGGCAGGGUAACACUACGAGGCCUUUACAAAGUUCCACUAGCUUCAGAAAACCCGCUACAGUUUAUAGGAAGCUCCAAUGCAGGAAUCCCUUGCAGGACCGCCAUCGCAGCAAAAUCCUCCCGAGGGCCUCCCUACACUGACCACUCCCCUACUGCCCUUGCCCCUUUCGGGUAAGGUAGUCCUCCACUAGCUUUCCUAAUUAAUCAGCCAAGGGCGUCCCAUUAAACCCUUGUGGUAGCACUGUUUUCCCGGGUGGUCGCUCCAUGUUCCAAUUAACAUAAUGAUCUUAUCAUGAACGAUAAAUAACAACGGAUAACAAAAGUAUAAUCAUGAGUAAUGUAUCUUCAUACCCAAAACCACAUAAAGCACUAGCAAGUACUACCCAAAAAGUUCAGUGGUAACAAGGUAUAAAGAUAAUCAAACUAGGGUAACCUAUUGGGUCCCAUCAAAAUUAACCUAUGCAGAUCAUUAUGAUUAAUCAGAACAUGGCUGGGUAAAAAGAAGUGAUCAAGGGCACAACUUGCCUGGGACUUGAGAUUCCAGGUACCAACUUGCUUUUCAGAUGACACGUGUCCUCGCGCUAGUCGUAGCAAUACAAGCAAACAUGGUAUAGAUAAAAUUAACAUCACACCAAACAUAAGAACAAACUGAGUAAUAAUGAUCUACGCGCUGCUACGAGACUAACGUAACUUGAACGGAUCAAAUCAGAGUUAAAACGGAGGAGUUAUGAUUUUCUGAAGAUUAUAUGUGUUUUGUACAAGAUUAAAUAGGAUAUAAAUUUUAAUGUGACAUUCAUGUCAAAACAGUGGUACUAAUUGAUAAACAAUAUUAUUAUAAAAUUAUAGAAACUAGAAUGGAUCAAUUUGGAGUUCAUAUGAAGUUUCUGUGAUUUAUACAACUUCUAGCAAUUAUUUUUGUAUUAAAAUCAAUUUCUAAAAUUAAAUAACUGAAUUCUCAGAGCUGUGGACUGGGCGCACAAAAUCUAGACAACCCGGGGGCCGCUACAUGAAUUUUCCUAAGACUCAGAGGUAUUCCGCGAGGACGGCGGGUUGUUUUUAGGAAAAUCUGGGGGCUCUUAUGCAUAAUAGGCACGGCGAAGGGGUAUCCUUUCAUCUAGGCCGCGCGAUCUGAUUUCAACGAUCCAGAUUAUAAUCCGAGCCCCGCGAACCGGUACAGGCUCACAACCGUUGGAUCCGAGAUCCACGGCACAGAUCACUUCCAUCCGAACGCUGCUGAACUUCUAAUCGUGGCCGCCCGAUCUUCAUCUAAUGGACCGGAUCAACUCACGCGAAGGGAUACAUGAAUUCUAUUCACAGCCGCAUGAUACCGGAUCAACGACCCAGCACCAUCUCCUUCCUCUCGUCGCUCAGACCGACGGCCAAGCGCGGCGGCAGUACACACCGGUGAGUCCCAGCCCGGUGCACCGGUGAACUACCCAUGUGCCUACUAGCAAAACACGACACAGAGAACAGAGGGAAUCACCCAGCUGGGAGUUCUUACCUGGACUCGGCAGGUGGCAGGACUGCCCACGCGCUACGGUGCUGGCUCACUACAACAGGUUCGACCGGGGCCCAGGACCUUCUCCGCGCUCGAGAGCGACGCAGAUGUUCGCACGAUGCCUCCCUGCACCCCUCUUUCCGACGAACACGGCGACACGAACGGAAGCUAGAACUUGGCGUUUGCAUGGAAGGGCUAUGGCAGCUACCGGAUAGGAGAUGCCUCUGUUCCUAUUUAUAACCCAGAGAAGGUGGGCUGGCGUCUGGCUGGCAAGCCCGACGGUUACGGAGGUGAGUCUGUUAGAUCUUGACGUCACGAUUUUGUUAAGUCAUCCCCACAAGCAGCGUCACGGGAGAUACCAGGAUGACUCCGUCCAUGACGUCAAUAUAACGUAUACUACGGCUGAUACAAUAAAAUUUUAAAUAAAUAAUAUAAAUGAAUAAAAAAAUAAGGCUACAAGGAUCUGGGUGUGGGCCGCCGUAUGGGAAACAUGGAAAUGAGUGGGCCGACACCACCAUACGUGUGGGUGAGUUUUCUUUUUUUUUCUACUCUUGUUUUCCUAUUUUCACUUUGGAGAUUCAGUUUCAAUCGAAGUUGUGAAUCUCAAAUUUCAUUCAAAUGCAACACAUAAAAUACCAGCAUGAAUGCAAAAGUAUAUUUUAUAUAUAACAUAUAUUUGUUUUAUUAUUUUUUUGUUCUUUUAUUCAUGAUUCUAGUUAUGAAAUAGAGAAUGGUUCACAUCUCAUGAAUUUUUAGGGAAAUAUAAUGUAUACUGUAGAUUAUAUAUUAAGAUAUAGUUUAAUCAUAAUUCUUCUAAUUUCACUCCAAGAAUAAUUUAGUUUAUCUGGUAUCUUUUUAUUUUAGUAAAAAAAUAUAUUAAUUUUUUUUGGAGUAGUAACUUUUGAAAUUAUGAAUGUUCUCAAGGAAAGGUGUUUUGAUUUUAAAACCCCCCAGAGGAUUUUCUUUAUUUUCAGAGGAUUGAACUUUAGGGUGUUACAACGUUAGCACAAUAAUGCCAAGUGGCUAGAGAGGAGUCUCAACAAAACACAAUAACCACAAGAGAUCAAUCACAGAGAAGGCACAGUGGUUUAUCCCGUGGUUCGGCCAAGACCAACGCUUACCUACUCCACGUUGUGGCGUCCCAACGGACGAGGGUUGCAAUCAACCCCUCUCAAACGGUCCAAAGACCCACUUGAAUACCACAGUGUUUUGCUUGCUUUACUAUAUCCCGUUUGCGAGGAAUCUCCACACUUUGGAGCCUCUCGCCCUUACACUUGAAAUUCACAAAGAAGCACGGAGUAAAGGAGGGAUGAGCAACACACUCAAUACAAGAAAUCACAGCAACACUGCGCACACAAGUCGCAACAAGAGCUCACAACACAACUCAAUGAGUUCACAACUCAACUAGAUCUCUAAUUGCUAUCGCAAGGAAUCAAAAGCGCGGAAUCGAUGUCUUAGUGCUUAGGAAUGCUUUGAGAAUGCUUGGUGUACUCCUCCAUGCGCCUAGGGGUCCCUUUUAUAGCCCCAAGGCAGCAAGGAGCCAUUAAGUGCAUUCCAGGAAGGCAUUUCUUGCCUUCUGUCGACUGGCGCACCGGACAGUCCGGUGCACCACCGGACACUGUCCGGUGCACCACCGGACACUGUCCGGUGCGGAUCUCUUUCCUUAUUUUGCGAAGCCGACCGUUGGCACCUUGGAGCCGUUGGCGCACCGGACACUGUCCGUGCACACCGGACAGUCCGGUGCCCCCUUCUAGCCGUUGACUCGGCCACGCGUCGCGCCCGGAUUAAGCGGCCGACCGUUGGCCCGGCGACCGUUGGCUCACCGAACACUGUCCGGUGAAUUAUAGUCGUACGCCGUUUAUUUCUUCCCGAGAGCAGCAAGUUUGCCUGAGCCAGUCUGGCGCACCGGACACUGUCCGGUGCACCCAGACAGAGCUGGCUUUGGCUGAACAAGGCCAUCUCUUCUCCAAUUCUUUUUCUCCUGUUUCCAGCACUUAGACACAAUACAUUAGUCUCUAAAACAAUGUACUAAGUCUGAGAAACAUACCUUUAUACUCGAUUUGUACUUCGUCCACCAUUUGACACUUAGGCACUUGUGUUGGACACUAAAUCACCAAAACACUUAGAAAUGGCCCAAGAGCACAUUCCCUUUCAGUAUGGUGUUGAUUGUUCUCUCUCUCUAAAUAUGUUGCAAAUUGACAUAUCAAGUCAAUGUUAAUAUCGCAAAACUCAUGCACAUAUUUAGGGGGAGCUACACAUACACAAAGGAUUUUAUCUCGCAAGUACUCGUAACUUUUAAUUUUUAUCUCUACUCCAGUUUGUUUUGGCAUCAAUCACCAAAAAGGGGGAGAUUGUAAGUGCAAUCAACCCUAAUUGAGGGUUUUGGUGAUUAAAUGACAAAACAAACUGAGAUUCUAACAAGUUUGCUCCUAGCAUGUACACAGUAAUUCUACAGACAGGAGAAGCACAGAUCCUACGAGCAUAAAAAAUAGAAAGCACAGCGGAUUUAAAAUUCCACAUCAAAUGGCGUGCUCUAAGUGCUUAGAAACAUCGGUGGUACUAAAUUUAUAAUUCUUGAGUCAUAGGAAUCGCCGUGCAAUUAAGAGGGAUCCGCGACGGUUAAGUAAGUUGUGCAAUGAGCCAAGUUCAAAAUCUUUUAAAAACAUCUUCAAGAACAUUUUUCCAAAUCAUGAAUGCCCUUCAGAAAAACAAAUUUUACUUCCCACAAAGACUCCAUUUUUGUUCUCUUCAAAAUACUCAAAAUUUGGUUUCAGCCCUGAAAACCGGUUCAACUGGUCCUAAAACCGGUUCAACCGAUUUUGGGACUGUUCCUCUGCCAUCCCUGCUCUGACCUGUCUGACAGUCAGAGCUGUCAGAAAAGUCAUUGCAGAUCUUUUUUGAAAACUGGUUCAACCGGAAUUUUCCAAUACUCAACCGGUUUUGAAACCGGUCGAGUCUCCGGCUGAGUAGGUCAGUGAACCGGGAUCCCCCUGGUAGAAACCGGUUCAGCCGGUCUGAAAAACGGUUCAACCGGUUUUUACUCCUUUUCUCCCAACGGCUGCCAGCUUUUGGGGGAUCCUUUAUAUACCCCCUCACACUCACUCUCUCAUUUACUUCUACCUCUCCCACGAAAUCUUGGCUGACCAAACUUCCAACAAGCGCAUUCAUUUCACCUUUCACACACGCAAUCGCAUCUCCUUCAAUCAUUUGAAGGACUCUUGGUGUGAGGUGAACUCGAUCGAACACGCUGUCAAUUUCAUCUCGAUUCUCCCAUUCUCUUUGUUCUUGAGCUCGUUGCAAACUUAACCUUGUGUGGAUUUGUUACUCUUGGAACCUCGUGUUCCUUGACGGUUAGAGGUUGCUUGGGGGUCUCCAAAUUUGUGGACGACCCCAAGAAGUUUGUAUCACCCGCUCUUUGAGCUUAUUUGAGAAGAGAUUGCCUUGACCUUUGUGGUCGGCUUGUGGAGGAUUAGGGUUGGAAAAGACCUGACCCUUUGUGGGCUCCUCAACGAGGAGUAGGACACCUUUGUGGUGGUUGCCGAACCUCGGGUUAUAUUGCGUGUUCUUGUGUGUUCUUGUUAAGCGCUUUAAAUUCGUUGGUUGGUUCAUAUUAUCCAUUCGAGUAGAUUUUGUGUAGGGCAAGUCUUUAGCUAUAUUCUUCACUACUUCGUAUUUGUUUAACAGAUUAUCUAAUUUAAGUUGAGCAGGUUCAAACUUGUUUAGUUGUAAUUAAAAUCAACUGAACCGGUUUGCACCAGUGUAACUUUAAUUUAACCUAUCUCGAAGUUUUUAGUGAAAAUUUUCAGGUGUAGCCUAUUCACCCCCCCCCCCUCUAGGCUACUUUCAAUAUGACUCAAACACAAGGGCAUAUAGAGUCUUCAACAAAUCCACUGGAUUAGUUGAGGUUUCUUGUGACAUUGUGUUCGAUGAAACUGAUUGCUCCUAAGUGGAGCAAGUUGAUCUUGAUGAGCUAGAAGAUGAAGAGGCUUUGUGCGUCGCAUUAAGGAACAUGUUCAUUGGGGAUGUGUGUCCUAAGGAAUCCGAAGAGCCUCCACAAGCAUAAGAUCAACCGUCAUCUUCCAUGCAAGCAUCUCCACCAACUUAAGAUGAGGAUCAGGCUCAAGAUGAUGAAAAUGAAGAUCAAGAGGAUGAGCCAUCUCACGAGGAGGACAAGGAUCAAGGGGGAGAUGAAGUUGAUCAAGACAAGGAAGAUGAUCAAGAAAUACAGGGUCAAAGACCGCCACACCCAAGAGUCCACCAAGCAAUUCAAAGAGAUCACCCCGUGAACUCCAUUCUCGGUGACAUUCAUAAGGGGGUAACCACUAGAUCUCGAGUUGCACAUUUAUGUGAACAUUACUCUUGUCUCCUCUAUUGAGCCAUACAGGGUAGAGGAUGCACUAAGAGAUUCGGAUUGGGUGUUGGCUAUGCAAGAGGAGCUCAACAACUUCACGAGGAAUUAGGUAUGGCAUUUAGUUCCACGUCCUAACCAAAAUGUUGUAGGUACUAAAUGGGUAUUCCGCAACAAGCAAGAUAAGCAUGCUGUGGUGACAAGGAACAAAGCCCGACUUGUGGCCAAAGGUUAUUCACAAGUCGAAGGUUUGGACUUUGGUAAAACUUAUGCACCCGUAGCUAGGCUUGAGUCAAUUCAUAUAUUACUUGCCUAUGCUACUUACCAUGGCUUUAAGCUCUAUCAAAUGGACGUGAAAAGUGCCUUCCUCAAUGGACCAAUCAAGGAAGAGGUCUAUGUUGAGCAACCUUCCGGCUUUGAAGAUAAUGAGUAUCCUAACCAUGCGUAUAAACUCUCAAAGGCGCUUUAUGGGCUCAAGCAAGCCCCAAGAGCAUGGUAUGAAUGCCUGCGAGAUUUCCUUAUCAUUAAUGGCUUCAAAGUCGGAAAAGUCGAUCCUACACUCUUUACUAAAACUAUUGCAAAUGAUUUGUUUGUAUGCCAAAUUUAUGUUGAUGAUAUCAUAUUUGGAUCUACUAACAAUUUACUUGUGAAGAGUUUAGUAGGAUCAUGAUACAAAAAUUUGAGAUGUCUAUGAUGGGGGAGUUGAAGUAUUUCCUAGGAUUUCAAGCCAAGCAACUCAAAGACGGUACCUUCAUUAGCCAAACAAAGUACAUUCAAGACAUACUUAACAAGUUUGGAAUGAAGGAUGCCAAGCCCAUCAAGACACCCAUGGAACAAAUGGACAUCUCGACCUCGACACUGGAGGUAAAUCCGUAGAUCAAAAGGUAUACCGGUCGAUGAUAGGAUCUCUACUCUAUUUAUGUGCAUCUCGACCGAAUAUUAUGCUUUCCGUAUGCAUGUGUGCAAGGUUCCAAGCCAAUCUUAAGGAAGUUCACCUUAGGGUCGUGAAAAGAAUCAUGAGAUAUUUAGUUUAUACUCCUACGUUUGGACUUUGGUACCCCAAGGGGUCUACUUUUGAUUUAAUAGGAUAUUCCGAUGCCGACUGGGCAGGGUGUAAAAUUGAUAGGAAGAGCACAUCAAGGACAUUGUCGUAGGCCAUUGCUGUGCGCAAUUACUUUGGAUGAGGCAAACCCUCAAGGACUAUGGCUACAAAUUGAGAAAAGUCCCUCUCCUAUGUGAUAAUGAGAGUGCAAUCCGCAUGGCGGAUAAUCCCGUUGAACACAGCCGCACUAAGCACAUAGACAUUCGAUAUCACUUUUUGAGAGAUCACCAACAAAUGGGGGAUAUCGAAAUUGCUUAUGUUAGCACCAAAGAACAAUUAGUCGAUAUCUUUACCAAACCUUUAGAUGAGAAAACCUUUAGCAAACUUAGGAAUGAGCUAAAUAUUCUUGAUUCUCAGAAUUUUGAUUAAAACAUUGCACACAUAGCUCAUUUAUAUACCUUGAUCAUAUCUUUUUUUCAUUUUGAUACAAAUGCAUAUCUCUUAUUAUUCUUGUACCAAGACUACGACGAAUGUGCUUUCAAGUAUAUUUCUAUACUAAGUCGUAGAUUGAAAGGGAAAUGGAGUCGACAAGGGUUCCACUCCACUCUAACGGUAUCAUUUCGCCGUCACUCCACAUCACUCUCAAUUGGUAUAAUCUUCACUCUUAUCUACUUAUACCAAUGGGGACAAAGUAUAAAAGGCUUUCAAAGUCUCUGUUUUUGGUGAUUAAUGCCAAAGGGGGAGAAAGUAUUAAGCCCAAAGCAAAAGGACCGGACUGCACCACCACCUAAUUUUUAAUUGUGUUUCGAAAAAAUUUAAAUGGGAAGAUUUUCAAAAUUAGUAUCUAUUAAAGCCUUCUUAAAAACUAAGAGGAGAAUUUCAUUCAGGGAGAGUUCUGUUUAAGUCAAAGGAAAAGGAUUUAAAACAGGGGGAGAAAUUUUAAAUCUUGAAAAUGCUUCUUGCAAUCUUAUUUAUAUGCCUUUGACUAUUUGCAAAAAGAUUUUGAAAAGAUUUUCCAAAAGAAUUUGCAGAAACAAAACAAGUGGUGCAAUCGUGGUCCAAAAUGUUAAAUAAAAGAAAAUAAUCCAUUCAUAUCUAGUGAAAUUAUCAAAUUGGUUUAACUCCAAGUAACCUAUGCACUUACCUUAUGCAAACUAGUUCAUUUCUGCACUUUACAUAUUUGCUUCGGUUUGUGUUGGCAUCAAUCACCAAAAAGGGGGAGAUUGAAAGGGAAAUAGGGUUAACCAUUUCCCACAAUUAAUUUUGGUGGUUGAAUGCCCAACAUAAAUAUAUGGACUAACUAGUUUGCUCUAGAAUAUAUGUUCUACAGGUGCAUAAAGGUUUAACACAAACCAAUAAAUAUUCAAGUUAGGGAUCAAAUACAAAGGAGUAAAAGAAACUUGAGUGUGUUGAGGAAUGGCGCAUCGGACUGUCCGGUGAGCCACCGGACAGUGUCCGGUGUGCCAGGACCGUACAGAUCAAACCAGCCACUCUCAGAUUUUCCAGGCGCCCUCCACUAUAAUUCACCGGACUGUCUGGUGUGCCACCGGACUGUUCGAUGCACCAGCGGAGCAACGACUAUCUAGCGUAACGGUCGACUGCAACGACACCCUGACAGCGCUACAGUACGCGAACAGUGCGCGCCAGAAGUCAGAGCAGAAGUCAGAGGCGCACCGGACAUUGAACAAGACAUGUCCGGUGUGGCACUGGACUGUCCGGUGCCACAUGAGGACAAAGCCCCCAACGGUCAACUGCUCCCGAACCCUAACGGUUGGGUGACGUGGCGGCGCACAGACAGUGUCCGGUGGCGCAUCGGACUGUCCGAUGCGCCCAUCGAUAGCAGUCUUCCCAAACGGCUUGUUGGUGGUUGAGGGCUAUAAAUACCCCCAACCACCACAACUCCAAGCAUCCAAGCAUUCUGAACAUUGCAUUCAAUACAAGAGCAAUAGACUUCACUCCAAGACACAAUCAAAGCGAUCGAUCCACUCAAAGUCCCUAAAUCAACUCUAGUGCAUUAGGACUUGUGAGAGGGUCUAUUGUGUUUCUUUGUUGCUCUUGUUUGUUUGGCUUGGCCUUCUUUUUCUUUUCAAUUCUUACUCUCAAGUGCUUUGUAAGCAAGGCAAGAGACACCAAUUGUGUGGUGGUCCUUGCGGGGUCUAAGUGACCCGUGAGAUUAAGGAAGAAGGCUCACUCGGUCUAAGUGACCGUUUGAGAGAGGGAAAGGGUUGAAAGAGACCCGGUCUUUGUGACCACCUCAACGGGGACUAGGUUCUUUAGAACCGAACCUCGGUAAAACAAAUCACCGUGCUCACUCGCUUUAUUUCUUGGUUGAUUUGUUUUCCCCUCUCUCCCGGACUUCAUUUAAGUUCUAACGCUAACCCCGGCUUGUAGUUUGUGUUUUAAGUUGUAAAUUUCAGAUUACGUCUAUUCACCCCCCUCUAGGCGACUUUCACAUACUUAGAUAAUAACCGAUCAAAGGUCGGGUCGGCUUUGACUAGUCGAUCGGAUGCCUUAAACGUGUUUGUCUUCCACUUACCUAUUUAUGGUCAUCGAGGUUUGAAGAUAUGUGGUCGUUGCUGAUCUUGGGUGAUGUCGGAUCGUCCGCCUGACCUGCACGGACUGUCCGAUGGUAAUCUGGACUGCUCGCGUCUUCGCGGCGAACUGCCCGUGGUGCGCAGAAUAGGGGGUUGUUCCUGUCCACCUGUCUGCGCCUGCCUCCCAGCGUUGGAGGUCGUGAUGGUGAUCUUCAAUGUCUCCCCUCUAUUUGGGGUCUUUUCUGCCACCAUUUUCCUGCAAAAAAUUGGUGUUUUCAUCGGCCUCUCGUGGGUCGCCGAUGAUGAUCUCCUUGCUUUUGACCUUAUCGGUUGUGCUAGGCCGAACCAAGACUUUUUAUCAUCAAAAUUGAUUAUAUUUAUUGGAAAGAGCUAUGUGUUCACCUGUAUUUAUUGAAAUUUCAAUCAGCCCUAGUUAAUGGUCGAUUGGGCAUGUCGUCGAAACACAUUACAAUCAUUAAUGGUGUGAGAGGAUGAAUUUUGCCACUUGGAGUAAGCACGACACUUAAGUUUGUUGACAGAUGGAAUUAGAGAUGGCAACGGAUAAACUAUCUGCGGAUAGUGUCUCUGGACAUCCAUAUCCACGACUUAUAUCCAAUAUCCGAACCCGUACCCGUUACCCGCUAUGGAUAACAAACAGUAUCCACAUCCGUUACCCGCGGGUAACGGAUAUCCGCGGAUAUAUCUGUUUGCCCACUAGACAUACAACAUAUUUAAAUCCAGCAAAUUCAAAUAUGAUAUCAUAUUUGUCAAGCAAAUUUAAAUAUGAUAAAAACAUACAACCAUACAGAAUUUGUCCAGCAAAUGAAAUCUGAUACAUGUAUUAAGGCAUACAACGAGCAAUAUAAAAUUGUCUCGCAGGGAUUGAGGGGAGGUGGUGGGCGCAGGGCGCAGCCGCGCAAUGACUGAGGAGAGGUGGCUGGUGCGCAGCCGGUAGCAGGGACUGUGGUGGCGGACUGGCGGGCGCGGCGUGGCACCCGGUAGCGGCUACGGUAGGAGCCGGAGUGCCGGACUGUGGCGAGAGUCUGGGAGAGGAGAGAUGGAGUGGGCGACGGCGGUAGGAGUGGAAGAAGAAAGAUGGAGAGGGUCUGGAGCGAGAGCGACCGAGCGAGGGCUUCGCUGGAAGCCUGGAACGGUGGAACCUAGGCUUGUGGCCUUGUGGGCUAUGGCAUGUGGGACGGGAGUACGGAAUAUUUUAACGGAUAUUCGGGUAUUUGUGUAUGGAUAAUGAUUUUUUGUACCCGUUUUAAAAAUAUCCACGGAUAUCAAGUGCUACCUGUAUUCGUAUCCAUGGUAUAGACUCGUACCCAAAAUCGUGCCCAACGGGUUUUUUAUCCGCAGGUACGCGGAUAAAUCACAUCCAUUGUCAUCCCUAGAUGGAAUAGUAUGAUUUAUUUUAACGUUGCCACUUUUGGAUAAUUCAUCUAAUAUUUUAACAAAUUUGCCAAUAUUAAAUGUGAAUUUAACCUUUUCUUGCCGUUUCUUUUGAACCAUAUGCAAAGAGUUUCUUUUGAACCAUAUGCAAAGAGUAACAAAUUGGAGAUUUUGCUUGUUUUGGCCACACCAUCUCAACAGCGUACACUUCUUUUGAUUCGUCGUUCGAGUUACUCUGGUCAUAUUCUACCAUAUGGAUGCUGGACAAGAUUCAGUUGACGAAUACUUCCUCAUGGACAAAUUAAUCAUACACGACUGUUAGCAGACACUAGAAAACAUAAAUUAGUGAAAAACGGACAUCCUAAACUAUUUUUUACUUCAACUAAUCUAUCCUAAACUAUUUUUUUACUUUCAACUCAUGGAAAUAUGAGGGAGGGAUCACACCGUGAUGGCAAAAAAAAAAACUAGGAAACCUUGCGGGACCUAUUGGAGGGGAAGAAAAUUGAGUUUCCCCAAAAUAAAAACUUUUUCAGGUCUUUUGUGUGUCUUUCUUGGAGUUGCUCUUAGAACCGGACUACAUCAUUGCUGGAUUUAUGUUGUUCUAACUCAAAAUCAUACGAAUAUAAAUCGUUACGUCUAACCAAGUCACGGGUAGGACAUAUAGAGUGCGUGACGACACCAUGAAAGUAAAAUAUGAUGCUGGAUGAAUCUACCUUUUGGAUUUAAUAUUCGAGAUAGAUUAAAAAAAUAUUGGUAAACAUUCAUAAGUUUAACUAGCCAGUUGUCCGUUUUUUGCUACAUUAUUUUAUAUAUCAUAUAAAAAGGUAUUGAGAUUUUUAUUCAAUUAUAAUUAUUAUUUAUUUCUAAACAUUAAUGUACGUGUGGUCUGGUCGUUAGCCCCAAAUUUCUGUAGUAGUGGGACGUUGGUUCGAGUACUCGUUUCUGCACUAUGUUUUAUAUAAUUAUUUCUAAACACUAAGGUACAUGUGGUCUGAUGGUAACUGCGCGGGCGGGGUCAGGGGUAGACCCAAUGUCAACACGGAGGGUGAAGUCGUGAUAGCAUUGAAAAUAUCUCUAGGAUUGUAAAAAUCCGGAGAAAAUCUUAGAAAUAGAUCGGUAUAUGGUAAACCCAAAUUAAAUAUGUAGAGCUCAUGAAAGAAUAGCUACAAUAUUCAAUAACAACAUUUAGCUCUAUAAAGUUUGGAAAAUAUCUAUAAGAGUACAGAAAAUCAGCCAAAUAUUCUAAUAAAUGUCUAACAACUUGUAAAAGCUUCUCACAACAAAAAUAUCGAAAUAUUCUAAUGAUUGGAUCAUGAUCCAAAUAUUUAUUUACCAUUUUUAUGUCCUUAAUUAAUUUUAAUUAAAAAAUAAAUAAAAAUAAAAUCCUAUCUAAUUAUUAAAUUUUAUAAUACGGAGUAUAAAAUUAGAUCCUACUGCCACCUCUAGCAGUUCUAUACUAUACUUAAAGCACCAGUUUCAACGGUCGUCAUGCGUCAUUUUUUUACAAAUAACCCCUCACAGCUAUUUCAAAUUAAUCCGCCGCACGUUUAUAAACACCAAACGACGCCCGACACGGACUAGAUGCACGCGGGCCACAACUAUAGCACAGACACGUCAUGCCGGCCUGCUAAUUGUGUCGGGCCAUCCCGUUAGCCCGUCGAUCUAUUUAAUUAAAUCAGCGUAACGACGCCCGACACGGGCUAGAUGCACGUUAACCACAACUAUGGCACAGGCAUGUCAUGCUGCUCUGCUAACUGUGUCGGGCUAGCCCGUUAGGGCCAUCGAUCUAUUUAAUUAAAUCAUCAUAAAAUGUUAAAAACCGGUGCACGAGGUGGGGUUCGAACCCAUGCCCUGAUGGAAGAAGGGUGGGAGACAAUAGGUGAAACUGUCUAGCCAGUAGAACAUCAUGCUAAGAUGUUUUUAAUAAUGAAUAUAAAUUGUAUAUAGGUAUAUACGUUUUUUGUAAAAUAAAAAAAUAAUUGUGCCGGGUUGGGCCAGCACUAUGGGCCGAUACUACAGCCCAAUCAUGGCACGACGUUCUUUGCUCUUGCAAGCAUUAGGUCGUUUCUGAGACCACAUUGGUGCAAUGGACUACAUGGUGUUUGAGGUUGCUGAAUUGGAUGGAACAGCAAUGAUUUGUCACACUAACAGCAAAAUGAAAGGUUAUUUGUUGGUUUUAAACGUUAGUAAUUUCUACGAAGUAGCGUAAUUUAUAUGGAGCACGUCCAGUUUUUGUUGAUGCCUGACUUUAGCAAUCACUCCAUAUUUUGAUCUAUCUUUUUUAUAAGUUUGACUUCAUGAGACUUAUUUAAUAAACAUGAUCUCACAAACUUUCUCUUAUUUGGCCUCUAUAUGAUGGAAUUAUAUCAUUUUAUAAUCUCUGCUCAUUCAGUCAAUCGUUGUGAACUCUCUUCUAAUCGUUCACUUCAUUGGCCGUGUUGUACCAAGACAUAUUUGUAUGAAGUAAACAAUAACAUCAGUUAGCCAAAUCAAAAAAUAUAUUAUACAGAGAAUGGAGACAAUCAAUAAAAAAUCUUGAAAUUUUUUUGAUCGACUAGUAGUUUAGAAAAAGGCAGAAACGACUUGCUGCGGCCGUGAGCGGUGAGCCGAAGGGGGCAGCCUGAAACUUCUGGGCCCACGGUAACGACGGCCCUCAUGCCAGAGUUGGUGCUGGGCCGAAAGCCGCAUUGUUUGAGGCCCAUAAAAUGAAUUUGGGGUUUAAAAUUGUAAAUCGACGUUACAUAUUGGUUCUCAGCUCGUUAUUUACAUCAUUUAAUAAACAAAAAGGUUGGAGAUAGAUCGAUAUAUAGAAGACGCAAUGAAAUAUAUUUUUUGACCACGGCAUCACCUGUUUACAUAUGAUGAUGAUGAUACCGUAGCAUUAAUUCCUCGGGCAGAGAAAGGUUGCUGCACCAUUCUGACCUCCUUAAUGAACCAGCAUACCUGACAAGUACUCCAAUUCCAUGGCCUGUCAUUGUUGAUGUCAGGUGAUUUUACUGACAGUACUACACAACCGUCUCAGUGUCUGUCUGGAGUCAGUCUUUUUUACCAUUGGCCGGUGAUCAUCGUCAGUAGUGCUCUGCUGCCGCUAGUAUCACUGCAUAUCAGGCUGGCUGUUAUCAUCUGGCAAGCCAUGAAGUGACAAUCUUACUGACAGCUCUCUUUCUUUCUUGUUUUCUCGGUACUAAUCCAUUUCACACAGAUCUUGCAGCAUCGAGCAAUACAAUCUACACCGACAAGUGUCAAACAAGUACUAGCAUGACUUGACUAAUGGUGGACUAAAGUGGCUCGGCUAGCCGGUCGUACAUGUGUUUUCUUCACUACCAAUCCAAUCUGGAACUGGUAGUAGCAACGUCAACGACUCAAUUUAGAGACGACUCCUCCUAGUGCCACUGAAAACCUCACAAUUCACACGACUCCUAACCACACAUCACUUCCACGUGGGCUCACGCGCGCCGGGCCCCCACCAGCCAGCGUCCCAAACCCGCGUGUCCGCGCACGCCGCCAAAAGCAGUCGCGCCCAGGCUAGCACUAGCGCGGCGCCGGGCCAGGCCAACCCACGUGCCGCCCCCGCGGGCCACUCGCCGCUGGGCCCAGGGCCCUCCACCCCAACCCCACACCACCACCCACCGGACGCGUCGGUCGGCCCCACGUGGAGGGUACACGCCGUGUCGGGCGGCGUGGACCUGGUGGGGCCCAGCGGUGAGCGGAACGCACACGCCGCUCCCCUCCUCCCUCCUUUCUCCUCUGCUGUGCUGCCUGCCCCGCUCGCCUUUUUUUUGGUUGCCCCGCGUUGUUUUGCGCAUAGGACCCUGUGCUUUUUCCAUAUACUUCGGUAAUGGAGCGGUUCCAGAUGGUCGUCGGUCAACUUUUCCAUCCCCAGCCUCCCUGCUGCAGGCGCCGGUGAAUGGAUGGACCGAGCUCGGACUCGAUUCUUUUUACCGGCAGGUCAAUUGGUACCGACAAGCCCACACCAGAAAUGUUCAGGGUGUAAUCUGCAAACAAAAAGACAAGACAUGUCCUUUCCUUAAUCCCUACUCGCUUCCAGACUGCCCCCUCCUCGAGCCCUCGCCCGCGUUCGCCCCCGGCUGGGAUCACCGCGCGUUUGCCGGCGCCAUGGCCGUCGCAGUCGCCGUCGCCAGCCAAAAUCCACUAGCAGCGCGUAACCUCCUGCCGAUCUAGGUUGGUGCGCGCUACCGCUUCCCUCCCCUUCUGCUCCCCGUCGACGCCAUCUCCUCAGCCCCAGAUUGCAUCUCCCUCUUCUUCCUCUGGUUCUUUCGGCCCGGGCAGAAUGCCUCUUUUUUUUCUUCUUCUUCUUACUCGCAGGCUGCGGGCUUAUGCUCGAAGGCGCGAUCUUUACGCUCGGAGUGGCUUCGUUUCAGGAGACGGGGGAUUUCUUCUCGCCCUUUUCCUCGCCUUGCGGCUGCGGAAUACCGGGGCCGGCCUGGAUUUGCUCGAGAGUGAGAGGAAGGCGUAACAGUGUGAAGGAGGCGCGGGGGACAAUAUGGCUGCGGAAAUGGUGAAAGCGGCGACGAGCGACAAGCUCAAGGAGAUGGAUUGGGCAAAGAACAUCGAAAUCUGCGAGCUCGUGGCGCAGGAUCCUGGGUAUGCUUGCCAUCCCCCCUCCUGUUUUUUUUCCCUUUCGGAACCAUUGGUUACCGAGUAGCAUUGCAACUUUUGCUGGCUGAAGCCUGUGACGAUGAAUUCGCCCUUACCGUCACGAUUUCUUUCCGGAGAAUCGAUCUGGGAGCGAUAUCAGUUUCUCGUUGCCAGUUGGCUAUGAUUUUUUUUCUUGUUGCACAUAAGUCGUGGCUCGUGGGUUGCCAUUUGGAAAAGGGUGGGUUUUUUUUUGUUCACUUGAAUGAUGUGUUGAUUUUCUGUUUCCUGUCACUGCCACCAGGAAAGCGAAGGAUGUGAUCAAGUCUGUAAAGAAGUGUAUAGGGAGCAGGAGCAAGACCACUCAACUCUUUGCUGUUAUGGUGAGUUGUUUUCACAGAAGCAGCCCUCCUGGAUCCUGAUUCCACCAUCAACUAUUCAACUGGCGCGCUAUAGUUAUCUAGAUGACUAUGAUAGACACAGGAACAUAUUUGUUCUUUAUUUGAUCAUGGAUCAUAGACAUGUAAAGAAGGAAUGGCGACCUGUACUUUUUGCUCACGCAGCCACCCACAAUGGAAAAGUCGACGAAGGAAAAAAGAGCCACUCUUGCUAAUGUUUACUGCUCAUUUGAUGUAAAAGGGGGCAUGGAAGUACUUCACACGUUUUCUUGUCUGCUGGGAUGAUUCUUUGCUUUAUUUAUGUCUUGAUUUUUUUAAACUCUUAUUUUAGGUCUUGGUCCUGAUGUCACUGUACCUAAAUGGCCUAUCAUUUCUCAUAUGUUUUUAAAUUAAUUAGCUCACAUUACAUAAUGUGCGAAUGUGUUUUUAUGGUUAAGCUAUAGUCUUGAUUCAGAUUCACUUCUAUUUGAUUCAGCUAUUGGAGAUGCUUCUGAAUAAUUGCGGAGAGCCUGUCCAUAGGCAGGUCAUUGAUAAUGGCCUUCUUCCAAUACUUGUGAAGAUAGUGAAGAAAAAGGUAACUUAUUUUUCACUGAAUUUAUUAUGGCAAUUGUGAAACCUGUUCUCAUUUGGAACUUCACCAAUUGGUCUUGACGUAACACACUAUCUUGGUUGCAGACGGAUUUACCAGUUCGAGAAAAAAUAUUUCUUCUGUUAGAUGCAACACAAACAUCCCUUGGUGGAGCUAAAGCAAGGUUCCCUCAGUACUAUGAGGCAUACUAUGAGUUGGUGGUAGGUAUCAUAUUUGCAGCUGAGAAUUUUCCUUGAUUCCCUUUGUUUAUUCCCAUGUAUUUGUGUUGAGAAUUUUGGUAGCGCUAUGUUUAACUGUUGGUGCAUUUAUUCCUUUUACUAGAUGUUUUUUUCCUGCUCAACUGAAACACAUGUGCAAAUUGUUUGUCAAUUUAUUUAUAAAUAUGUGAAGACUCAUAAAAAUGUUGUACAUACUUCUGUGGUGCUGUUGUUUGCUUGGUGGUUGCAAGAUUUAUUCCUUAACCACUUCUAUGGCUCCAAUAUCUGCAGCACAUUCCUUCUCUUGAACAUAUUAUUUUGUUGUUAGCUUACAAUAGAAAGUAGCUGUUUUUGGUUCUUGCAGUGUUUAUUAUGAUAUAUAGCUGAAGCUAUCAUUUAUCUUGCCUCCAUAGUCUGCUGGUGUGCAAUUUUCAAAUCGGCCAAAUGUUCUUGUCACACGAGCAGAAGUGCCAGUCCCAGAAACGAGAACAGAACCAAAUAAUGAAAGUUUAUCGACCCGUUUGACUGAAGCUCAACAGGAAGUGCACACUCAGCCUGUUCCUGAUGCAAGGUACUUUCUUGGCAUUGAAAUGCUAAUCUUGAACUGUGUGGUACAUUUCAAUCAUCUCGAGUUUUUUUUUUUUUUGAAAUUUUGGUGCCUCUAUUCCUUUUGGUUUGUAUGUCCUGUUAUUGUUGCAAGGUUAACUAGCCUAUUAACAUCCUAACAUGUCAAAAAGUUUGUACUGCUCAUUCUUUUCUUUUUUUUGGUCAAUAGAUUUUUGGCGAACAUGCCUUGAUGCUACAUUGCUAAUUUGCUAUGAGUCACUAUGAUGAUAUAUUGCAUGCGGCAAUGCCAUGUGGUUGAAUAACCAUUAGCACGCAGUUUGUUUUAGCUUUUGAUUUACUUUUGCAAUUGCAGUGUCACUUGGUAAUGUUAUGUGUUGUUUUCUUUUUUUCUAUUCCAUGAUAUUUAUACAUCAUCAUACAUCUCUUCUGGGUGGAACCUAUGACAUGAUGACCUCAGGAUGCCAUAGUUAGCAUCUGUGAUGCACUGAUACCUUUCAUUAUUGAUUUAAUACUUAGAAUAAUAUAACUGGAUCUGGAUGCGGCAAAUUUUGCCUCGUCUUUAUGGACUGUAAUUCAUAUGUUCUAACAGCGUAUUUUGAUGUUUUUUCAGUAUAGUCCAGAAAGCCUCUAGUGUCAUGGAAGUAUUGAGGGAUGUGCUUAAUUCUAUGGAUCCUAGGCACCCUGAGGUAUGUGUUAAAUUAAUAUCUGCAACAACACCAAAGCCUUUUAGUCCCAAACAAGUUGGGGUAGGCUAGAGUUGAAACCUAAUGGAAAACCACAAGUCAAGGUUCUGUUAAAUUAAUAUCCACAUCAUCAAUAUAUCUGUAUCCUUCUCAAUUUUGCUUGUUGGAUUUUUUUGCACCUCUCUAUCCUCUUGCUGUGUAGCUAAAAUGCUUUUACUCUUUAUAACUUAUGCCCUAGCGCUGUGUUCUUGUAGGGAGCAACGGAUGAAUUUGUGUUGGAUCUUGUCGAGCAAUGUACGUUUCAGAAGCAACGAAUAAUGCACCUUGUUAUGACAUCAAGGUACGGGUCCGGUUUUAUUACUGUUGCUUUGGAUGGUGUUGGAAUAUCUGUGCACAUCUAUCACCUUUUUGUUACUUGUCGCUGUCUGCUACAGUCACACUGAUGUUUUGUGCCGCCCCUAUUAUUUGCUAGGGAUGAAACACUGGUAUCACAAGCUAUAGAGCUAAAUGAAGAGCUACAUAAGGUUCUCGUCCGGCAUGACGCGUUGCUUUCAGUUCAUCCGACAACAGCAGUAGCUUCUAAUAUAAAGGAAGAAGAGGAGGAAGAGGAUGCUGAAAGUCUCUAUCGGAGGUAGGACCGAUCAUGCACCAUUUUCUUUCAGAACGGUGGUAUGCAGCCUCUUACAGAAUUCUAUCCUUACUAAAACAGACUGCGGAAGGGGAAGGCGCUGUCGCAGGACUACACAGAUGACCUGGUGCCGUCGUUCCGAUCCAUGCCCGAGGACAAGCUGCGGCGGCCGCUGACCAUCCAAUCGCCUCACCCCGACAAGAGACUGGGUGCGCUGAACAUCCGCUCGCCGGACCGCGAGGAACCGAGACUUGAUCCUGCUCCGCUGAUCCCGCCGCCGCCCGCAAAGCACGCCGAGAGGGAGAGGUUCUUCCGAGAGAAGAGCAUCGACGGUGUGGCCAGCCUUCCGGGCCACAUGAGGGGCCUGUCGCAGCACAGCCGGGACGGCAGCAGCUCGUGUAGCGGCAGCACUGAUUACGGCGACUGAAAGGGGAGGGGUGAGCAGCAGCAGCAGUACAUAUAGGGUUCCCCUUCUUGGGGCUGGUCUCACACUUGGUCAGGCCAGGCAGGCGAUACAUUGGUGUUGUGCCGGAGUUUGGAUCGUCGGCGUCUCCUUCAUGCUGACCUGUGUACACUUGUCUUGGUAGCAUUUUGUUCAUUUUUCAUAUUUUCCCUUUGGCUGAUAUGACAUUACUGGGAGGCCGUUGUGUUGGUGUGGCGUUGUGGGUUCUUUCCCUUUGAGGUCUCUAUAGAUGAUUGUGAUCUACUGCAUGGGGGUAUGCUUGGGUCUGAAGCAUUGCUGUGACUUUACCCUUUUGGCUUUCUGCUCCUGUGUGUGGUGUAUCACUUGGAGGUCUGUCAGAGGCGUGCGUGCUGCAGCUAUUCAGUAGAUUCAGACUGCUGCUGCCGGCCACAGGGCACCAAAGUGGUCGGUCGUUGUCUUUGGGAAAAGCUACUGUGCAACGCAUGCCAGAAACCCACUUUGAGCUGUCUAUAGAUCGAAAAAAAUCAAGAAAGAGUUCAAAGGCAGCAGAGACUGGCUAACUUAUAAGAGGACCGCUUUUUUUUACCAUAUUUUAAAAACUCUGCAAUUUUAGCCUAAUGAUUUCUAUAGGGAAAAGUCCAAUUCAUCUCCUUCAAGUAUCACGGUCAUCCGAUUUUGCUCCUUGAAACCAGUUUCUUUUGACCCACUCGAUUCUUAAUAUCUUUUGUUUUUGCACCUUGAGGUCUUAUUUGAUUAUUCUCAUUACACAUAGAUUGGAUAAGAUUGAAAAAAUUAAGAAGUUUGACUUGUUUGAGAUUUAAAUUCAUUCAAUCUCAUUCAAUCCACAUGGAUUGAGAGCUAACCGAACAAGAACAAGCCCUGAGUGGUUUUGAUAUAAUUCUGCUGAUGUGCCAUAUCAGCAGAGUAAAUUAUACUAAGUUGAAAGUUAGCAAAAUAAAUUAGACAAAGUUGAAAGUUUAGGAAGGCAAACUGGAUAAAAAAAAUAUUUUAAUUAUGAACUAGUUUUAGAUCCCCUCUCUAAAAUCAUGUUCUAUCUUAUAUUCUUAUGAUGCCUGGAUUGAAUUUCUAUGGACUCAUUUUUACGCUUAAUUGCUAGAGAUGCUCUAGUUAUCUAUUAUAAUUAGCUUAUGUUCAUGACUAUGUAGAAGCGCUAGUGGAGCAUCGUCGGAAUUAUAUUGGCCAUUGUAUGCCAUGCACCCUUUCGUGGUUUCGAAGGAGGACAAUAGAUUUGUGUUCGGUGGGAUGCAAGCGUGGACUCACUUUUAAAUGGUAGAUCACGAAGACUCGAGCAAAGAACUGAGACAAUGGGUUAUACUCAGUCGUUCGUCGCGUCUCGCAGACUCACUCGACGGGGACUUGGUCGUUCGCCCCAUCUCGCAGACUCGCUCGGUUGCCUGACAUUGAGUUGGUCGGCAGAGAGUUGGUUGGUCGGUCCGCCUUGCAGAGUUGGUCGGUGGAAUUGGGCACCUUCCGGUGCAUCGCCCCAGACGCCCUCGGGCAGAGUCGGAAUACGCUGCUCAUCCAGGGUUGGCUUCGGGUGAGCCGUGGCUGCGUCUCCCGCUCGAUGUUGACCUCGGACGAGACGUGACUGCGUCUCCUGCCCGGGGUUGGCCUCGGGCAAGCCGUGACUGCGUCUCCCAACCGAGGUUGCCCUCGGGCAAGUAGUGAUUGCUUAUCCUACCCGUGGUUGGCCUCGGACGAGUCGUGACUUGGGUCCCUUGUGCCUUGGUAAGGUUGAGAGCGUCUUUCCUUAUGACCCCUUCUUGCUUAAGCGUCUAGGCACUUUAGGGCUGUGAUCUGGGUACCCCUUAUUAUGAUACCCGACAGUAGCCCCCGAGCCUUCGUGUGGCUUCCUUGCCAAGGGUCAGAAGCCCGAGUGCGCGCAAGCACAUCAAUAUGAUAUAGCACCAGAGCCCCGAGUAAUCCGUUGAGGGUUGCUUGGGGGUUUAUUUGGUUCCUGGUGAAGCCAUAGGCCUGUCUUUUGCCAACCUCUUCUGACCUCCUAGCUGUGUCGGAUGUAUGGAGAAUGGAGGGAGGGCAGGACUGUGUCUGUGUGAAUGUCCACAAAAUGGAGUGAGAAUCACGACCCAGUUCGGCCCAUUUAAGGCCUUGUUCGUUUACGCCAGAUUACAUCCGGAAUCGUUCCAGCUAAUCAAAGUUUAUAUAAAUUAGAGAAGUAAUCCGGUUAGAAAUCGUUCCGAUCCACUAAUCCCGCAAACGAACAAUGACUAGGGCCUUGUAUUGGAUUGGUGGGUCGGAACGAUUCCUAACCGGGUUGCUUCUUUAAUUUAUAUAAACUUUGAUUAGCUGGAACGAUUUCGGGUACAAUCCGACAGAAACGAACGAGACAUAAGUAGGAUCCAUUCUGACCAGUUAUCCUCAAGCUCACGGUCACGUAUUCCGUAAUGAAUACGCUACCAGUGUUGGGUUAGACUGUCUCCAGCAACGUCCUCUAUAUACAUCCUCUAUAUCCGUCCUUUACAGUUUUCUCUAAAAGAUUCCAUCUCCUAUAUCUACUUUCUCUCCAACAACGUCCUCUAAAUCACGUCCUCUAUAUGUAAAUACCUAUAUUAAAGACAUUUUUAAUUUUUUAAUUUUUGUACAUACGUAUUUGUCAUACUUUCAAAUGUAUUGUACAUAUUUUAGUUUUAUUAAAUCGGUUGUUUAAUCUAUUCAAAUAGAUAGAGAAUCGUUUAGAGAAACUCUACAUAUAGAGGAUCCGGCAGCGUUCUCUAAAUUUAGAGGACUGUUUAGAGGACGUUGCUGGAGGGAGUAGAGGACGUCCUCGUCCUCUAAAUUUAGGGUACAGAACCCUUUAGAGCUCCUUGCUGGAGCUAGUCUUACGGGUAGCGUGCAACAUCGGACAUGUGCGCUUUCUCCGCCUUUCCUCUCGUCUCCUCGUCCGUUGGGGGCUCGGGCGCUCGGCUGGAUCCAUUUCGCGUGGCGCGCGCGGUCGACGGGAGGUCCCAGCCAGCCAGCGAGAGAGGGAGCCGGGGCCGGGCGGGGCGGCACCUCGCGAGAUGGCGGCGGAAGCGGACGACCCGUCGCUGGCGGCGACCCUGGAGAAGUUCCGCCUCUACGAGACGCGCGCGGUGAGCACCUCACCACACCACCUGCCUCCUGGUUCCCCACCUCCAUCCGAGUGGAAUCGCUCAUCCGCCCAGGUUGCUUGCUGGAACGCAGAGGUUCUACGUGAUCGGGAGCUCGCGGGAGAAGCGCUGGUUCCGGGUGCUCAAGAUCGACCGCUCCGAGCCCUCCGAGCUCAACGUAAGCGAGGACCCCGUCUGGUACUCGCUGCAGGAGGUCAAGAGCCUCCUCCAGCGGAUCGACGAGGGCAACCGAUCCACCGGGGGCCUCGCCUUCGUCACCAAGGCAUACGGCAUCGCAGGUUGGCCCCCUAGUCCCUUUUCUCAGUUGCAUUCAUUGUUCAUGCACCUACCUCUGUUGCUCUGUAUUGGAAAAUUGGAUUAUCAACACUAGUUAGAUCGCAGCUUCUCUCGUAGGCUAUACUUCUCCUUAGAUAAGAUAGACAGUAUUAGUUUUUUUGGGGUUGGUGGGUGGGGGUAUAAAUACAGUAGUUCAUCAGAUGUGUUCUGUUCGGAAUUCCAUAAUGUUCCCUUUCAACGAAUAAGGUGACCAGAGAAUGCCAGGGAUUCAUUUUCAUUGCAGAACUACUUCACAAUGAAGAUAACUCGGACACCCUGUGUUACCAAUGUCCCUUGCAUCUCUUGCUAACAGUUGGAAUGUUGCUCAGUGCUUUACUGAUAUGAGUUUCACAUUCAAAUGCUAGGAUUCGAUUCGUUUGAUCAGGAUGGUUCAAGGAGGGUGGGAGGGAUGCCGUUUAUGUACCUUAUGUUUUUUUCUCAAGUUAGUCACUAUUUUUUCCACACUGCUAAAGACCAAAUUUCAUUACCAAAGCAACAAAAUUACAGAGUUUUAGCGAGUAGCAAAGAUGAAUAUGAAAACGAGAAACUAAACCCAGCAUGCCCAUGAAGUUGAUAACAGAGGGAUCCGCCCCAAGAAUGGAAACUACCGCUACGACUGAUGUGAAAUGCAGCAACGACCAAAAGGUCACCCAAGGCCACUCUCAGGAGUUCCAUACAGAGCUCCAGCCCAGACGGCAUGCAGGCCCAGAAACGAUGCUACCAACAAACGGCACCAGCUGGCGAUCCUCUUGUUUCUGCAGCUCCAGCUCUUUCUUGUGGAAGAACAAGGCGUCUUCGCAGCUUACACUCGCAAAACUUGCGUCUCCAGCUCUCCCUUCAGCAAACCUGCCCAAUAAUUCAGGAAGGAGCAAAUCAUACAAACAAUUUCAGUAGGAGAUUUGAUUUCCUUGUUAUCAAAACAAACACACAGUGUUUUUGCAUUUCCAAAUUGCCCAACAGAUCGCUGCCAACCCCAUAGCAUAUACUUCUGUGCAAAAGGCACAAGUAACAUCACCCUGCCAUUUACAUUUGCUCAAGUUAUCUUUAGUGAGGAUGGGAUUUUGAAGGACCAACCACAUGAAGACCUUGACUUUUAAGGGUAUCUUAGAUUUCCAAAAAAAAAAAAAAAUUGAAGUUACACCCAAACUCAUGCAGCCAUGCUAGCAGAGAUGUCUAUAAGUUGAUCUCACAGAAAAACUGCCAGUCUUUUCCCAUUUCCAGAUAGUUCUGCCAUUCUCAUUAUUGAUAUUAUAUCUAUGUACAAUAUCCUGUAAGCUUCUUAGUUGGUUUUGUAAGUCCUCAUGAAGUUAGUCACUAUUGACUACACUCGAACUACAGCCUUGCGCUUGUUCUCAAGAUUCUUGUUUCGUUUUGCUAUGUAGGUUGCAUCAAGUUCCUGGAGUCAUACUACCUGAUUUUAGUCACCAAACGCCGUCAAAUCGGUUGCAUUUGCGGGCAUGCUAUAUAUUGUAUAGAUGAGAGCCAGAUGAUCACCAUCCCACACUCAUCAGUGCAAACAGAUGUUGCGACCUCUAAGAAUGAGCUGAGGUAUAAGGAAUCUUUUUUCCUGUGCUGUUUCACACUUUUGAGUAUGCACAUAUUACCACACAUUUGCUGAAUUAAGGAACUUAUACUUCUGUAACAAUAGGUACAAGAAGCUUUUGGCUAGUGUUGAUCUCACCAAGGAUUUCUUCUAUAGCUACACAUAUCCAAUUAUGCAGAGCCUGCAACAGAGUGUUACUUCUGCAGGGAUGAAAGAAAUGCCUUAUGAAAAUUUGUUUGUCUGGAACACUUUUCUGACAGAGCCAGUACGUUCAAGGUGCCACAAUACUCUCUGGACAGUAGCUCUUGUCCAUGGGCACUUCAAGCAGGUUACUUAUAAACUAUCUGCCACUUUUUAAAGUUUUUUCCUCCGAAACCUUUUCUGUUUAUGAGAUUUGGAAAUUGGCUUCGUUGAUGACCUCCAUUUUAUUUUGGAGAGGGGUGGGGGGAAGGGGGAAUCUUGCAUAAUGCCUAAUUAAGUGUUUCUAUUUGUUUUCCAGGUCAAGCUAUCAAUUUUUGGCAGAGAGAUAAAUGUUGUUCUCAGCUCUAGAAGAUCCCGACACUUCGCCGGGACACGGUAAUUCUUUGUUUUGCUUUCUAGUCAUGCCAUACUUCUUUAUUUUCUUUUUUCAUUCGUGUAAUAUGAAUCAUUUACUCAUUGUUGAGGCUUAUGUUCUGUUCCAUUGAUUAUAUUAUUCUCUUAUUGCUGUUGAGUUAUCAAAUGCAUACCUUGUUCCAAAAAACUUAGAACUCAUAUAUGUAAGAUCUUUGUUGGAUCCAUCAUUCUUAUGCAAAACCUUUCAAAUCAACACUAAUUUCCUGUCAUUUUUCAUUUACUUACUGCUUGGCACAAUUUCUAUAUGUGCUCUGCCAGGCUGCGAGCUAUGCAUUAUCUUAUUUUUGUUCAAUUAAAAAUUUACUACCGCUACACGGUUUCUCUAGGUAUUUGAAAAGAGGUGUGAAUGACCAUGGAAAAGUUGCUAAUGAUGUUGAAACAGAGCAGAUAGUCUUUGAAGAAGAGGCUGGUUCCUGGAAGGGAAGAAUGAGUGCCGUAGUACAGAUGCGAGGAUCAAUCCCUCUCUUUUGGUCACAAGAGGCAUCUCGACUUAGUCCUAAGCCUGAUAUUUUUGGUUAGUAGAUGUUGUGAAUCAUUGAUUAUAAUCUCAGACCAACCCAUAAUAGUUGAUUGCAGGAUUAUUCAUAUAAAAUCUUAAGGUUUUAUCCUUAUGGUAGAAUAACACACUCACAUUCAUACAAAAUUUCAAGAUUUUAUUUCCUUAUGGUAGAAUAACAGACUUGCACAUCUGAGAAUGUUCUUGAGAUGCAUUCUUCAACUUCAAAUUGACUAUUCUUUUAGGUCUUGAAAUGAAUAAAAUUUAUUAUGAGUAGCACCUGUUUUCAUUUUCAUUAUGAGGAUCUAGGCCCAAGUAUAUACAUUUCAGGUAUAGCAAAUAUGCACAAAACCCACACAUGACAGAGAACAUAUACAUCCAACACAAAAAAUAUCACUUCUUUCUCACCUUAAAAUUUUGUUGCAGUGCAGAGAUAUGAUCCCACAUAUGAAGCAACAAAAUUACAUUUUGAUGAUCUCGCCCGGCGAUAUGGACAUCCUAUCAUAAUACUUAAUUUGAUAAAGGUACAUACCUGCAACUUAUUUUUGCAAUUCCCAAUUUCCCAAAUAUCUUCACUUGCUGAUUAGUUGUGCAUCUGAGACUUUAACCCUAACUCUUGAAUUGCAUAUGAAUUGGCUGCUACAGUUACACAUUGACAUUUGUCUAAAAAUACAAUAUUCAUUUUUGUGUGCUCAUAUAUCUAUGAGAAAAUUUAUUCUUCAUGCCUCUCCAUUAGAAAUUACACUAUAUUGCAGCUCUAUGCAUUUGGGAGUCAAAACUUAACUGAACGAUGUGUAUCUCUUUUCUGCUUGGACAUGUUAGUUUCUAGUGUAGCUGUGUGACUAGCUGCUACUCUUCAUUGACUUCUUUGUAUGGACAAUCAGCAUGUUAACUUUUGUCUUCCAUGUGUUGCUCAUCAAUAUUUUCUAUUCUCUAUGUAGACUGUUGAAAAAAGGCCACGUGAAAUGAUGCUCAGGCGUGAAUAUUGUAGAGCUGUUGAAUAUCUUAAUCAAAAUGUCCCAGAGGAGAAGAAGUUGAGAUUCAUCCACUGGGAUUUUCAUAAAUUUGCUAAAAGGUUUUCAAGUGCUUCUUGGCUACCUUCAAACAUUUGCAAGCUAGUGCUUGUUCACAUGCUGAUGUUUGAUGUUUCACACUUUACCUUUCAGCAAAUCUGCAAAUGUACUGGGUGUUUUAGGAAAAGUUGCGGGUGAAGCACUGGACCUCACUGGGUUUUACUACAGCGGAAAGCCAAAAGUCCAGAAAAAAAGGUUAAUUCAGCUUAGUCGAACUAGCACUGCAAGGUAAACAUGCAAUCUAGAAAGAAUGCAUAGCUUACAACAAAUAGGACCAUUGUAUCCUACAGAUUUUUAUCCGAGAAUUGAGAUAUCAAAUACAAGGAGCAAUUUCAUAUGGUUAAUCAUCUGUGAAUACCACACUAGCAACUAGGGAUACUACCAAUACUAAAUGUAGGCAAUGCUUUCUUUCUGUGCAGGGAUGGCUCCCUUGAUAUAAGGGCCAGUUCUGGAGAUCUUUCAAGGCUCAGGGAUGGCUCCCUUGAUAUAAGGGCCAGUUCUGGAGAUCUUUCAAGGCUCUCUAGUAAUGCUGAGGCACUUAGUUCUACAGGCUUUCAAGAUAUGAGAAAUCAGGCUAACAAACAAGAGUUUCUUGGUGAUACUCCCUGUUACCAAACUGGAGUGCUCCGUACAAAUUGCAUAGAUUGCCUGGAUCGCACAAAUGUUGCUCAGUAUGCAUAUGGCCUUGCUGCUUUGGGGAGGCAACUUCAUGCAAUGGGACUGACAGAUGUUUUAAAAAUCCACCCUGAUAGCAGCAUUGCUUCUGCUUUGAUGGAAAUGUACCAGAGCAUGGGUGAUGCACUUGCUCAUCAGUAUGGAGGAUCUGCGGCACAUAACACGGUCAGUAAAUAUUCUUUAGCACAUAUUAAAUAAAGAGUAGCUGCCAGUCAUUUGUAAUGCCCAUAGGAUCCAAAUUCCAGAAGUCAUUUUCUUUUCGGUUUUGGGGUUUAGAACUUCAGAUAAGAGAGCUAUCUGCUAUCGCCUCUUUGGCUGUUCCCUGGUUUCAGACAUCCAGUACUGUCCAAUGAACACAAUUUCAGGUUUUCCCUGAGAGGCAAGGGAAAUGGAAGGCUACUACUCAGUCUCGGGAGUUCCUGAAAUCAAUUAAACGGUAUUACAGUAAUGCCUACACUGAUGGUGAGAAGCAGGAUGCUAUAAAUCUGUAAGUCUAUCGUGUUGCUUUUAUCAUAAUAGAUGUACUGUAUUAAACAUAUAAGGUAGUGAGUGAACCAGCUCUUGAGUUGUCUAGUGCCAUGGGUGCAAUCAGAUUUCUGGGGUACUAAUUCUUAGUUUGGUGGUACUAUCAGAUUUCUGGGGUAUUUUCAACCACAAGAAGGAAAACCAGCUCUUUGGGAGCUGGAUACUGAUUACUAUCUUCAUGUGACGACAGCUGGGGAUGAUCUUAUGUCUGAUAGCUACCACUUGAGGCAAGUUUUAGUGGUUCUUUGCUUCACUUGUUAUGAUACAAUGAUUUUCAUACCCUUAACAAGAUGGUAACUCACAGUUCUGCACCUGGAAAUAAUGUGUUCGUGGGGUCUGGAGCUGCAUUGAACCCUGGGACCAUAUUGAGCCCUGUCCCAGCAUGCAAAGAGGAUUUCUCACGGAAGAAGCUUACUUCGUUCGACAAACUUAUAGAAAGAACAUGUAGUUCUAUAAGGAAUGUAAGGCUUCAUUGUGACGCUGAUCUAAAGCCAAGUGGAGGUGUUGGAACUUCUGGAAUGGCACCAGAUGCAGCGUACGCGGUUUACCCCCUCGUCACAUAUGGUUCUUGGUUGAAUUUAUUUUUUGUGAUGUUGUUCUGACAGGAUCCAUUUAUGGUUCAGUGAGAUACAGCUUAAAAGCCCCAACUGGUUGUUUGGUCAAAGGAAGCAUACGGAGACAAUUUCAACCGCAAGAGUUGCCCCGGUUGAAAACGUGAACGAGGGGAACAGAGACGAGUCAAAUGUGUCUCUUUGUGGGGAACUAAUUUGGCUAUCCUCCUCAGUUGAAUCAUGCGAGGAGGACAUUUUCAGAAGGUGACUCCAUAAAAUUUGCUACUAUAGCUCUUUAAAAAAAAAUGGCUCCUUUGUAGAUGAUUUUAGAAAUUCCGUUUUCUUUGCGAUAUGAUGCAGGUACCUUGCAUUCACGACAGCGGAUGUAGAGAAUGGCUGGUAUGGCGGAACACUGCUAUAUGACCGAGAUGAAAACAGCGGGGCUUACAGGCACUAUUCUGAGCUCUGCCAGGUAAGCGCCUCCAUGGCUGUCAUCUUGGUUCUGAAUACAGGAGUUUCAUAAACUUAUGUAUGUGGUAAUGCAGGGAGCUGUCAUGGAUCCCUUUGAGCAUGACCCUGAGAAAGAGCGGCACUACGCGGAGGCCCUUAGCGUGGAUCUCGGCGAUGCACGGGUGGAGGCCGAAAUGCAGGCCGCGCUGGAUGACUACCAGGUCAUAGGGUCGGACCUGAGCAUCAUCCCUUCGUGCGGAGCACUCGCAGAGGACCCGAGCCAGCUGACGAGGUGGAUCAUUGGAGAUGAGAGGCUGCUUGUGGGUGCUGCUGCGCAGUAGACCGGUGGGGUUCUGUCUUCUACUCUUCUGUGGAAGGUUGUACAGAGCAACAGAUUGCCAUUCACCGACCCAGCCUUUGUGUUUUAUAGAUACUUCCCUGAAACAAUUACUCCAUGUAUUUAGCAGCAGGUGUUUUAUAGACACUUCCCUGAAACAAUUACUCCAACACGUGCAUGCAAUUUAUUGUUGUGCAGCAGGUGGUAUUGCUGCUGGGAUUAGCUUUGGCAAUAAUAGUUGAUUGUUGUGCAGCAGGUGUUUGAUUUCAUUCAUCUAUAAAUAACCAAAGCCAGCUGGGCGAGACGAUCUUUCUCAGUCGAUCGCACAGCAAGUGAAGGCUUUGUGUACUAUACAACACAUAUGGAAUCAACCAUAACAAUCAAUCUGAUACACACGGUAAUUUACAUCCCCCAUCGAUCCAACCACCCAAGCUAGCUAGUCCAUCCCAAAAAGCCUUGAAUUCAGUUGCAUCCAUCCAUGUUUUGUAUCUUACAGCAAGAACGAAGACGUGUACCACCAAAAGACUAAGGGCAUGUACAGUGGUGUUUAAUGUGGGGGCUCUUAAGGUGUUUUAGGGGGUUAUUUGCAAAAAAAUCUUAGAGCCGUCUCUCCGUGAAGAGACGCCUCUGGCUCGUAAACCAAGUAACAACAGACGCCUCACUUCCCACUGUACGAAUUUGUCGUCUGUUCUAUCGAUCUGAUGCUAUACAAAUACAUUUAAUUCUGUAUUUAUUAAUAGACUACGUUUAUAGACACUCCAUUGUACAAUAUAGUCUCUUAGUUGUCUCCUGUGCUUGGAGAACCGUUUUGGUGUCUCUCCACUGUACAUGCCCUAAUACCAACUGAGGUCCAGGUCAGCUUGUGGCGAUAGAAAAGGAGAACCGGAGAGUCCCAGGCCAAUCCGCGUGCUUGUGUUGUCUCUUUGCCUAGUCAGGAACAGAAGUAAUUCUUGGGUUGGGUGUGCUUGUGGUCAUCACCUGUAUCUAUCUCUUGCCUGCUACAAACGGAGCAUAAAGCCUGCCUGAUGGUCAUUAUGUCAGGAGAGUUAUCUCGCAAUUUAGCCUGCUAUUAGACCUGCAUGCAUGGUGAAGUGUUCGAGAUCGUUAGUGAUAGAUAGAGUCUGCCUGUUUCAACAAGAAUCACAACAAUCUACCAUUUCUAUAUGAUCACCCUCAUCUCAGUUCUCAACAAACAUAUGUAUAUAUUGAUGGAAUAAGUCUUAAGCAUCUAGAGGACAGCAUUCACUUUUUGACUGUCCUUUGUACUCUCUUUAGCAUCUAAAGGACAUUAGUCGCUUUUUGACUGUCCUCUAUAGUCUCUUUAGCAUCUAGAGGACAACAGUCGCUUUUUAACUGUCCUCUGUAGUCUCUUUAGCAUCUAAAGGACUGCAGUCGCUUUUUGACUGUCCUCUGUAAUCUCUUUAGCAUCUAGAGGAUAUCAGUCGCUUUUUGACUGCCCUCUAUAGUCUCUUUAGCAUCUAGAGAACAAUCCUGUUGUGUAGUGUGUGUGAGAAGGUGUGGUAGUGCAGCCUCUAGGGCUAUAAAUAUGUGUCUCCAACUCUUAGAUGGGUAUGACAUUGUGUAGUGUUUGAGGAAAUAAACAGAAAAUUGCCCCAACUCAUAGUGUCAUCCUCUUGAUAAGAGUUAGAGUCCCUCUACUUACAAUUGGUAUCAGAGGCAAACUAUCCUGCAGCCUAAACAUCUCUUGCUCAUCUCCUUCCCGCGCCUCUCCCCACACUCAGUCGGCAGCACGAGCUCCAACUGUUCCUUCCUCUCCUGCUCAGACGAGCAGCCUUUCGUUUGAGACAGCCUCUUCCACAUGCAGCGACCCCUCACUAGCCCACUAUGUCCCUACGCUCGGUCACUUCGAGUGCACGGCGCCAGCAGGAGGCCGAGGUCGUCGCGGCACAAGAACACGAGCGAGCAGCAGCAGCGGCUGCUGUCGGUGUUUUGGGUCCGACCGCACACCGGGGUUGCCCCUUGAAAGGGAAUUAGGCUUACACCUAGUUCCUAAAUAAUUUUGGUGGUUGAAUUGUCCAACACAAAUAUUGGACUGACUAGUUUGCUCUAGUGUAUAAGUUAUACAGGUGCAAAAGGUUCACAUCUAGCCAAUAAAAAGACCAAGUGUUGGAUUCAAUAGAGGAGUAAAGGGGCAACCGAGGGCACCCCUGGUCUGGCGCACCGGACUGUCCGGUGUGCCACCGGACAGUGCACAGUACCUGUCCGGUGCACCAGGGGACUCAGACUCAAACUCUUCACCUUCGGGAAUUCCAGGGGCGACUCGGCUAAAAUUCACCGGACUGUCCGGUGUGCACCGGACAUGUCCGGUGCUCCAAGGAAGCUCGGCCUCCUGAACUCGCCAGCCUCGGGUUCGCGCGGCAGCCGCUCCGCUAUAAUUCACCGGACUGUCCGGUGUGCACCGGACUGUCCGGUGUGCCAGCGGAGCAACGGCUCCCUGCGGCGCCAACGGCUCCCUGCGGUGCAUUAAAUGCGCGCGCAGCGCGCGCAGUCGUCAGACUCGCCCAUACCGGUGCACCGGACAUCAAACAGUGCAUGUCCGGUGUGCACCGGACACCCAGGCGGGCCCACAAGUCAGAAGCUCCAACGGUCAGAAUCCAACGGCAGUGAUGACGUGGCAGGGGCACCGGACUGUCCGGUGUGCACCGGACUGUCCGGUGCGCCAUCGAGCAGAAGCCUCCAGCCAACGGUCAAGUUUGGUGGUUGGGGCUAUAAAUACCCCAACCACCCCACCAUUCAUUGCAUCCAAGUUUUCCCACUUCUCAACCACUUACAAGAGCUAGGCAUUCAAUUCUAGACACAUUCAAAGAGAUCAAAUCCUCUCCAAUUCCACACAAAACCCUAGUGACUAGAGAGAGUGAUUUGCCGUGUUCUUUUGAGCUCUUGCGCUUGGAUCGCAUUCUUUCUUUCUCUUGUGCUCUUGUGAUCAACACUCAAUUGUAACCAAGGCAAGAGGCACCGAUUGUGUGGUGGCCCUUGCGGGGAAGUUUUGUUCCCGGUUGAUUGAGAAGAAGGAAAGCUCACUCGGUCGGAGGGACCGUUUGAGAGAGGGAAGGGUUGAAAGAGACCCGGCCUUUGUGGCCUCCUCAACGGGGAGUAGGUUUGCAAGAACCGAACCUCGGUAAAACAAAUCCGCGUGUCACUCUCUUUAUUUGCUUGCGAUUUGGUUUGUGCCCUCUCUUGUGGACUCAUUUAUUAUUACUAACGCUAACCCCGGCUUGUAGUUGUGUUUAUAUUUGUAAAUUUCAGUUUCGCCCUAUUCACCCCCCCUCUAGGCGACUAUCAAUUGGUAUCAGAGCCCGGUGCUUCAUUAGAGCCUAACCGCUCGAAGUGAUGUCGGGAGAUCACGCCAAGAAGGAGAUGGAGACCGGCGAAAAGCCCACUACAAGCUACGGGAGCACUUCAUCGGAAGAGUCCCGCACCAAAAGGAGGGAGAAGAAGAAGAACUCCUCCAACAAAGGGAAGGAGAAGAAAUCUUCUUCUCACCACAAAGAGAAGAAGGAAAAAUCUUCUUCCCACAAGCCGCAUCGGAAAGGCGAUAAGCACAAGAGGAUGAGAAAGGUGGUCUACUACGAGACCGACACUUCAUCAACCUCUACCUCCGACUCCGAUGCACCCUCCGUCACUUCUAAGCGCCAAGAGCGCAAGAAGUAUAGUAAGAUCCCCCUACGCUACCCUCGCAUUUCCAAACAUACAUCUUUACUUUCCGUCCCAUUAGGCAAACCACCAACUUUUGAUGGUGAAGAUUACGCUAGGUGGAGCGAUUUAAUGCGAUUUCAUCUAAUCUCGCUCCACAAAAGCAUAUGGGAUGUUGUUGAGUUUGGUGCGCAGGUACCAUCCGUAGGGGAUGAAAACUAUGAUGAGGAUGAGGUGGCCCAAAUCGAGCACUUCAACUCUCAAGCCACAACCAUACUCCUUGCCUCUCUAAGCAAGGAAGAAUACAACAAAGUGCAAGGGUUGAAAAAUGCAAAGGAGAUUUGGGAUGUGCUCAAAACUGCGCACGAGGGAGAUGAGCUCACCAAGAUCACCAAGCGGGAAACGAUUGAGGGGGAGCUCGGUCGGUUCCGGCUUCAAAAAGGGGAGGAGCCACAACACAUGUACAACCGGCUCAAGACUUUGGUGAACCAAGUGCGCAACCUCGGGAGCAAGAAGUGGGAUGACCACGAAGUGGUAAAUGUUAUUUUAAGAUCUCUCAUUUUUCUUAAUCCCACUCAAGUUCAAUUGAUUCGUGGUAAUCCUAGAUAUACUAAAAUGACCCCCGAGGAAGUUAUCGGGCAUUUUGUAAGUUUUGAGUGCAUGAUAGAAGGCUCGAGGAAAAUCAACGAGCUUGGCGACUCAUCCGAAGCCCAACCCGUUGCAUUCAAGGCAACGGAGGAGAAGAAGGAGGAGGCUACACCAAGUCGACAACCAAUCGACGCCUCCAAGCUCGACAAUGAGGAAAUGGCGCUCGUCAUCAAGAGCUUCCGCCAAAUCCUCAAACAAAGGAGGGGGAAAGACUACAAGUCCCGCUCCAAGAAGAUUUGCUACAAAUGUGGUAAGCCCGGUCAUUUCAUUGCUAAAUGUCCUAUGUCUAGUGACAGUGACCGAGGCGACGACAAGAAGGGGAGAAGAAAGGAGAAGAAAAGGUACUACAAGAAGAAGGGCGGCGAUGCCCAUGUUUGUCGGGAAUGGGAUUCCGACGAAAGCUCUAGCGACUCCUCCGACGACGAGGACGCCGCCAACAUCGCCGUCACCAAGGGACUCCUCUUCCCCAACGUCGGCCAUAGGUGCCUCAUGGCAAAGGACGGCAAACGGAAAAAGGUUAAAUCUAACUCCUCCGCUAAAUAUGAAUCUUCUAGUGAUGAUAAUGCUAGUGAUGAGGAGGAUAAUUUACGUUCCCUUUUUGCCAAUCUUAACAUGGAGCAAAAAGAAAAACUAAAUGAAUUGAUUAGUGCUAUUCAUGAAAAGGAUGACCUUUUGGACUCCCAAGAGGAUUGUCUAAUUAAAGAAAACAAGAAACAUGUUAAGGUUAAAAAGGCUUAUGCUCUAGAAGUAGAAAAAUGUGAAAAAUUGUAUAGUGAGCUAAGCACUUGCCGUGAAAUGAUUGACAACCUUAGAAAUGAAAAUGCUAUUUUAAAUGCUAAGGUUGAUUCACAUGUUUGUAAUGUUUCAAUUCCCAAUCUUAGAGAUGAUAACAUUGACUUGCUUGCUAAGAUUGAUGAAUUGAAUGCAUCUCUUGCUAGCCUUAGAUUAGAAAAUGAAAAUUUAAUUGCUAAGGCUAAAAAUUUUGAUGUUUGCAAUGCUACUAUUUCCGACCUUAGAACUAAGAAUGAAAUGUUGCAUGCUAAGGUUGUAGAACUUAAAUCUUGCAAACCCUCUACAUCUAAUGUUGAGCAUGUUUCUAUUUGCACUAGAUGUAGAGAUAUUGAUGUUAAUGCUAUUCUUGAUCAUAUAGCAAAAUUAGAUGCUAAAAUUGCCGAGCACAACCUAGAAAAUGAGAAAUUUAAAUUUGCUAGAAGUAUGCUCUUUAAUGGGAGACGCCCUGGCAUCAAGGAUGGCAUUGGCUUCCAAAAGGGAGACAAUGUCAAACUUAAUGCCCCUCCUAAAAAUUUGUCUAACUUUGUUAAGGGCAAAGCUCCCAUGCCUCAGGAUAACGAGGGUUACAUUUUGUACCCUGCCGGUUAUCCUGAGAGCAAAAUUAGGAGAAUUCACUCUAGGAAGUCUCACUCUGGCCCCAAUCAUGCUUUCAUGUAUAAGGGUGAGACAUCUAGUUCUAGGCAACCAACCCGUGCCAAGUUGCCUAAGAAGAAAAUUCCUAAUGCAUCAAAUGAACACAACAUUUCAUUUAAGACUUUUGAUGCAUCAUAUGUUUUGACUAACAAAUCCGGCAAGGUCGUUGCCAAGAUUGUUGGGGGCAAACACAAGGGCUCCAAAACUUGUGUUUGGGUACCCAAAGUUCUUGUUUCUAAUGCCAAAGGACCCAAAACCGUUUGGGUACCUAAAGUCAAGAACUAAAAUUGUUUUGUAGGUUUAUGCAUCCGGGGGGUCAAGUUGGAUACUCGAUAGCGGGUGCACAAACCACAUGACCGGGGAGAAAAGGAUGUUCUCCUCAUAUGAGAAAAACAAAGAUCCCCAACGAGCUAUCACAUUUGGGGAUGGAAAUCAAGGGUUGGUCAAAGGUUUGGGUAAAAUUGCUAUUUCACCUGACCAUUCCAUUUCCAAUGUUUUUCUUGUUGAUUCAUUAGAUUACAACUUGCUUUCUGUUUCCCAAUUAUGUCAAAUGGGCUACAACUGUCUUUUUACUGAUAUAGGUGUCACUGUCUUUAGAAGAAGUGAUGAUUCAAUAGCAUUUAAGGGUGUGUUAGAGGGUCAGCUAUACUUAGUAGAUUUUGAUAGAGCUGAGCUCGACACAUGUUUAAUUGCUAAGACUAACAUGGGUUGGCUCUGGCACCGCCGACUAGCCCAUGUUGGGAUGAAGAAUCUUCAUAAGCUUCUAAAGGGAGAGCACAUUUUAGGACUAACCAAUGUUCAUUUUGAGAAAGACAGGAUUUGUAGCGCAUGCCAAGCAGGGAAGCAAGUUGGCACUCAUCAUCCACACAAGAACAUAAUGACGACUGACAGGCCACUGGAGCUCCUACACAUGGAUCUAUUCGGCCCGAUCGCUUACAUAAGCAUCGGCGGGAGUAAGUACUGUCUAGUUAUUGUGGAUGAUUAUUCUCGCUUCACUUGGGUAUUCUUUUUACAGGAAAAAUCUCAAACCCAAGAGACCUUAAAGGGAUUCUUGAGACGAGCUCAAAAUGAGUUCGGCUUAAGGAUCAAGAAAAUAAGAAGCGACAAUGGGACGGAGUUCAAGAACUCUCAAAUUGAAAGCUUCCUUGAGGAGGAGGGCAUCAAGCAUGAGUUCUCUUCUCCCUACACGCCACAACAAAACGGUGUAGUGGAGAGGAAGAAUCGAACUCUAUUGGACAUGGCAAGAACCAUGCUUGAUGAGUACAAGACACCGGACCGGUUUUGGGCCGAAGCGGUCAACACCGCCUGCUACGCCAUCAACCGGUUAUAUCUUCACCGAAUCCUCAAGAAGACAUCAUAUGAACUCCUAACCGGUAAAAAGCCCAACAUUUCAUAUUUUAGAGUUUUUGGUAGCAAAUGCUUCAUUCUUAUUAAAAGAGGUAGAAAAUCUAAAUUUGCUCCUAAAACUGUAGAAGGUUUUUUACUUGGUUAUGACUCAAACACAAGGGCAUAUAGGGUCUUUAACAAGUCCACUGGACUAGUUGAAGUCUCUUGUGACGUUGUGUUUGAUGAAACUAACGGCUCUCAAGUAGAGCAAGUUGAUCUUGAUGAGAUAGGUGAAGAACAGGCUCCAUGCAUCGCGCUAAGGAACAUGUCCAUCGGGGAUGUGUGUCCUAAGGAAUCCGAAGAGCCUCCAAGUACACAAGAUCAACCAUCCUCCUCCAUGCAAGCAUCUCCACCAACUCAAAAUGAGGAUGAGGCUCAAAAUGAUGAAGAGCAAAAUCAAGAAGACGAGCCACCUCAAGAUGAUAGCAAUGAUCAAGGGGGAGAUACAAAUAAUCAAGAAAAGGAGGAUGAGGAAGAACCAAGACCGCCACACCCAAGAGUCCACCAAGCAAUCCAACGAGAUCACCCCGUCGACACCAUCCUCGGCGACAUUCAUAAGGGGGUAACUACUCGAUCUCGGGUUGCACAUUUUUGUGAACAUUACUCGUUUGUUUCCUCUAUUGAGCCACACAGGGUAGAGGAAGCUCUCCAAGAUUCAGAUUGGGUGGUGGCGAUGCAAGAGGAGCUCAACAAUUUCACGAGGAACGAGGUAUGGCAUUUAGUUCCACGUCCUAACCAAAAUGUUGUAGGAACCAAAUGGGUCUUCCGCAACAAGCAAGAUGAGCAUGGUGUGGUGACAAGGAACAAAGCUCGACUCGUAGCCAAAGGGUAUUCACAAAUCGAAGGUUUGGAUUUCGAUGAAACCUAUGCACCCGUAGCUAGGCUUGAGUCAAUUCGCAUAUUAUUGGCCUAUGCUACUUACCAUGGCUUUAAGCUCUAUCAAAUGGACGUGAAAAGUGCCUUCCUCAACGGACCAAUCAAGGAAGAGGUCUAUGUUGAGCAACCUCCCGGCUUUGAAGACAGUGAGUAUCCUAAUCAUGUCUAUAGGCUCUCUAAGGCGCUUUAUGGGCUCAAGCAAGCCCCAAGAGCAUGGUAUGAAUGCCUUAGAGAUUUCCUUAUUGCUAAUGGCUUCAAAGUCGGCAAGGCCGAUCCUACACUCUUUACUAAAACUCUUGAAAAUGACUUGUUUGUAUGCCAAAUUUAUGUUGAUGAUAUUAUAUUUGGGUCUACUAACAAGUCUACAUGUGAAGAGUUUAGUAGGAUCAUGACACAGAAAUUCGAGAUGUCAAUGAUGGGGGAGUUGAAGUAUUUUCUAGGAUUCCAAGUCAAGCAACUCCAAGAGGGCACCUUCAUUAGCCAAACGAAGUACACUCAAGACAUUCUUGCUAAGUUUGGGAUGAAGGAUGCCAAACCCAUCAAGACACCCAUGGGAACUAAUGGGCAUCUCGACCUCGACACGGGAGGUAAGUCCGUGGAUCAAAAGGUAUACCGGUCGAUGAUUGGUUCAUUGCUUUAUUUAUGUGCAUCUCGGCCGGACAUUAUGCUUUCCGUUUGCAUGUGUGCAAGAUUCCAAUCCGACCCUAAGGAAUCCCACCUUACGGCCGUAAAACGAAUCUUGAGAUAUUUGGCUUAUACACCUAAGUUUGGGCUUUGGUACCCUCGGGGAUCCACGUUUGAUUUGAUUGGUUAUUCGGAUGCCGAUUGGGCAGGGUGCAAAAUCAAUAGGAAGAGCACAUCGGGGACUUGCCAGUUCUUGGGAAGAUCCUUGGUGUCUUGGGCUUCAAAGAAGCAAAAUUCCGUCGCUCUUUCCACCGCCGAAGCCGAGUACAUUGCCGCAGGACAUUGUUGCGCGCAAUUGCUUUGGAUGAGGCAAACCCUGCGGGACUACGGUUACAAAUUAACCAAAGUCCCUUUGCUAUGUGAUAAUGAGAGUGCAAUUAAGAUGGCCGACAAUCCCGUCGAGCACAGCCGCACUAAGCACAUAGCCAUUCGGUAUCAUUUUCUUAGGGAUCACCAACAAAAGGGAGAUAUCGAGAUUUCUUACAUUAAUACUAAAGAUCAAUUAGCCGAUAUCUUUACCAAGCCACUUGAUGAACAAUCUUUUACCAGACUUAGGCAUGAGCUAAAUAUUCUUGAUUCUAGAAAUUUCUUUUGCUAAGCUUGCACACAUAACUCAUUUGAAUACCUUUGAUCAUAUCUCCUUUAUAUGCUAUGACUAAUGUGUUUUCAAGUCUAUUUCAAACCAAGUCAUAGGUAUAUUGAAAGGGAAUUGGAGUCUUCGGCGAAGACAAAGGCUUCCACUCCGUAACUCAUGCUUCGCCAUCACUCCGAGCAACUCUCUAUUCCUUGGGGAGAAAUGAGCAUCAAAGAAAAGGACUUCAUCCUUGGAGGAGAGAGUAAAAGCUCAAAAGCAAAAGGACCGGAUUUCGUCUUUGGUAUAAUCUUAACUCGUUACUUAUGACCAAAGGGGAAGAAAUUACUUCGAGGGCUCUAAUGAUUCCGUUUUUGGCGAUUCAUGCCAAAAAGGGGGAGAAAUGAGCCCAAAGCAAAAGGACCGAACCACCACCACCAAAUUCAAAAACUUAGUGCUUUCCAAAAGUCUUUAUCAUUUGGUAUCCUAUUGUGUUCAAAAGGGGGAGAAAGUAGUAUUUCAAAAAUGGUAUAUCAAAACCCUCUUGAACACUAAGAGGUGGAUCUCUUUUAGGGGGAGUUUUGUUUAGUCAAAGGAAAAGCAUUUGAAACAGGGGGAGGAAAUUUCAAAUCUUGAAAAUGCUUUGCAAACUCUUAUUCAUGUACCUUUGACUAUUUACAAAAGAUCUUUGAAAUGGAUUUACAAAAAGAAUUUGCAAAAGCAAAACAUGUGGUGCAAACGUGGUCCAAAAUGUUAUAUAAGAAAGAAACAUUCCUUGCAUAUCUUGUAAGUAGUUAUAUUGGCUCAAUUCCAAGUAACCUUUGCACUUACAUUAUGUAAACUAGUUCAAUUAUGCACUUCUAUAUUUGCUUUGGUUUGUGUUGGCAUCAAUCACCAAAAAGGGGGAGAUUGAAAGGGAAUUAGGCUUACACCUAGUUCCUAAAUAAUUUUGGUGGUUGAAUUGUCCAACACAAAUAUUGGACUGACUAGUUUGCUCUAGUGUAUAAGUUAUACAGGUGCAAAAGGUUCACAUCUAGCCAAUAAAAAGACCAAGUGUUGGAUUCAAUAGAGGAGUAAAGGGGCAACCGAGGGCACCCCUGGUCUGGCGCACCGGACUGUCCGGUGUGCCACCGGACAGUGCACAGUACCUGUCCGGUGCACCAGGGGACUCAGACUCAAACUCUUCACCUUCGGGAAUUCCAGGGGCGACUCGGCUAAAAUUCACCGGACUGUCCGGUGUGCACCGGACAUGUCCGGUGCUCCAAGGAAGCUCGGCCUCCUGAACUCGCCAGCCUCGGGUUCGCGCGGCAGCCGCUCCGCUAUAAUUCACCGGACUGUCCGGUGUGCACCGGACUGUCCGGUGUGCCAGCGGAGCAACGGCUCCCUGCGGCGCCAACGGCUCCCUGCGGUGCAUUAAAUGCGCGCGCAGCGCGCGCAGUCGUCAGACUCGCCCAUACCGGUGCACCGGACAUCAAACAGUGCAUGUCCGGUGUGCACCGGACACCCAGGCGGGCCCACAAGUCAGAAGCUCCAACGGUCAGAAUCCAACGGCAGUGAUGACGUGGCAGGGGCACCGGACUGUCCGGUGUGCACCGGACUGUCCGGUGCGCCAUCGAGCAGAAGCCUCCAGCCAACGGUCAAGUUUGGUGGUUGGGGCUAUAAAUACCCCAACCACCCCACCAUUCAUUGCAUCCAAGUUUUCCCACUUCUCAACCACUUACAAGAGCUAGGCAUUCAAUUCUAGACACAUUCAAAGAGAUCAAAUCCUCUCCAAUUCCACACAAAACCCUAGUGACUAGAGAGAGUGAUUUGCCGUGUUCUUUUGAGCUCUUGCGCUUGGAUCGCAUUCUUUCUUUCUCUUGUGCUCUUGUGAUCAACACUCAAUUGUAACCAAGGCAAGAGGCACCGAUUGUGUGGUGGCCCUUGCGGGGAAGUUUUGUUCCCGGUUGAUUGAGAAGAAGGAAAGCUCACUCGGUCGGAGGGACCGUUUGAGAGAGGGAAGGGUUGAAAGAGACCCGGCCUUUGUGGCCUCCUCAACGGGGAGUAGGUUUGCAAGAACCGAACCUCGGUAAAACAAAUCCGCGUGUCACUCUCUUUAUUUGCUUGCGAUUUGGUUUGUGCCCUCUCUUGUGGACUCAUUUAUUAUUACUAACGCUAACCCCGGCUUGUAGUUGUGUUUAUAUUUGUAAAUUUCAGUUUCGCCCUAUUCACCCCCCCUCUAGGCGACUAUCACCCCUCAAGGUGUUUUUAGGAGUAGGACGGUGUCAACGACUGUAGCAAAAUGGUUCGUGCUGGUCGCACGAGGGACAGUGGACAAGAUUUGCAGGUUCGGGCCGCUUAGAAGUGCGUAACACCCUACGUCCUGGUGAGUAUAUGAGCGUGGUUACAAGAGGGUUCUCUGUAGAGAGUUUAUGUGGGUGGCUAAGUAGAACAGGGGCAAUCGUUCUGAAGGGGUGCCCCCUAGGUCUUAUAUACUCGACCGUGGGGCAGUACACGUGAGUAUGAUAACAACAAGUAGCUAAAAGAUAAUGAACCUCUUGAGUUUAUCCCUACGUAACCCUUGCCGACUUAUCCUCGCAUGGCUCUGUUGCAUGUGGGCUUCAGCGCGGGAAAGUCGGGUCUCCGUUGCGAUUCAUUCGCCCGACGUUGUGGGCCGUCUGGGUUUGCGCUAAUCAGUCUCACGUCUUCUUUUCUUUGUUGGUUGUCCUUCCCUAGGCCCACGAAAGAAUGACCUUACGAAUUAUUGGGCCCUUGGGCCUUUCGUGAGGCCUUUUACUUCUUUAGUGGACCCAGGGGAUAUCUAUCCCCCACAAGCCCCCGAUCUUUGGGUUGAUUUAGAGGUAAUCAACUCAAAGAUCCAAGGUCCAAAAAAUGACUUCCUGCUGUCUUCUCUAGCUCUGAUCACUCGUUUGACCAAAGUUUGGUUUUGUGCUUGUGCCUUAGAGGUUGGCAUUUUGGAUUGUAAGACUCUGGACUUCAUUGGGUGCACCGGAGGUGCACCCAAUGGGUGUAGCCCCCGACCUUUGAGUAGAUUUUAGAAGAUAAUCUACUCGAAGGUCUUCUUCCCAAGGUUAUCUCCAUUCGCGCUCCUGCAUCUCGGUUGAGGAUCGGUCUUUUCAGUCUUGCUCUACGCCUUAGAAGUCGGCGCUAUAUCGGCUUAGAAUAAUACUCCAUGGGGUGCACCGGAGGUGCACCCAAUGGGUGUAGUCCCCGACUUUCAAAUGGAUUUUUUAAGGAUAAUCCAUUCGAAGGUCUUCCUUUCGCUUGUGGAAACUGGCAUGAAGCUAUUUUGCAUUAUGCUUUGGAGGUCAGCAUUAUGUCAUCAAUAUUUUGCUGCGGAGGUCAGCGUAUAUUUUGCCUUGAGCAGCCGAGUUUGCAAUCUAUCCAUAUCUUGCUAGGUAGUGCAAUUUAUUUGCUUCUGUGAUUGAUUGGACGUUUGACAGACGUUCUCUGUCUAGUCUUCACGUCGCUUCUGUCGGCCAUAUCUUGUACUUUGCUGGCUAUAUUUGGCUUUCCACUGAUCCUUACUGAUAUCUCAUUUUUUUCUUGAGGUAUUCACUGCGUGCCCUGCUCGGAUGUGACCGUUUUGAAAAAUAUACUGAUAAUUCCUGGGCGUCCCCCCCCCCAAUGGGUGUGGGCAAGGGACGGCUUGGUACGCUGAGUGUUUUAGCCGGUUGCCUCUGAGUAGUAAUGCGAUGGGACGGCUAGUGUAAUCAUAUCCUUUGCGCUGUUGACUAGAGUCCCAAUGGGUGUAGUGUUGCAUGAAACGGCGUCCGCCGUCUGACGUGUCUUCAGAUGGGUGGAAGUGCUUAUUGAAUGCCUUGCGACUGUUCAGUGACCGCGGUUAGAAGUGAGCGGUUGCCUUUCCCUUCUAUAAAUAACCCCUUUGCUUCUCCGGUUUCUUCACAUCUCUUCGCUGCUCCUUACUGCCUUCUUUUCCUCCCCUUUGUCUGUUUCCACCAUGGGCAAGAACAACAAGCGCAAGCGCGAGCCGACUCCUCCAUCGGAGGAUUUCGGUGACUCGGAAUACUCGGAGGAGGAGUUCUCCUCCGAGUCCGAGGGGUCUCCGGCUCCCGUCUCUCCCCCGGCGUCGUCCGAUGACUCGGACGACUCCCAGGGGAUAGCCGCGGAGGUCUGGACGUACAUCCGGGCCGUCGAGCGCUCCGGGCUCGAGGGCUCGGAUGAGUCGGAGUACUCCUCGGAUGAGGAGGACUCGGACGGCGGCGACGAGGAUGAGGACGACGACGACGACGACGACGACGACGACGGCGACGGUGACGGCAGCGGCAGUGGCAGGGGCGACGGCGACGGCAGCAGGGGCGGCACCAAGGGCGACAGCAGCAAAGGCAGCACCAAGGGCGACGGCGGCGGCAGGGGCAGGGCCAGUGGCUAGAUGCCACUGGUCUUCUUAGAUGUUAGUAUAGUUUAGUAUAGCUAGAAUAAUGUAGUAGUAAUUAGUGUAGUUUAGUAGUAGUAGUAAUGUAGAGUAGAAGUAGGGAAGUACCAACUCGUGAAGAGUUGGUUUGUAAACUCGUUAACUUCCCUUUAACGAAAGACUGUCGUUGAUCCCCCCUUUUUGAUGACUUGUCGUUGCUUUUCCUGAGUGUUGAACCGAUUCUUUUGACAUAAUAGAUUCAACGCCGAGUGAUGUGGAGGUUGACAUCAGCGUUUUAGAAGUAACACCAAACAAUCGAACACAAGACCCGCGUUUUAGAGGCAAUGCCGAAUGAUAGAAGGUCGGCAUCGGCAUUUUAGAAGUAAUGCCGAGCGACAGAAUACGGGGUCGGCGUGUUAGAGGACACGCCGAGUGAUUUGAAGGUCAGCGUCGGCAUUUUAGAAGUAAUGUCGAGCGAUUGAACACGUGGUCGGCGUGUUAGAGGAUACGCCGAGUGAUUUGAAGGUCAGCGUCGGCAUUUUAGAAGUAAUGCCGAGCGAUUGAACACGUGGUCGGCGUGUUAGAGGAUACGCCGAGUGAUGUGAAGGUCGGCGUCGGCAUUUUAGAAGUAAUGCCGAGCGAUUGAACACGUGGUCGGCGUGUUAGAGGACACGCCGAGUGAUUGAAGGUCGACGUCGGCAUUUUAGAAGUAAUGCCGAGCGAUUGAACACGUGGUCGGCGCUUUAGAGGCAACGCCGAGUGAUUGAAGGUCGGCGUCGGCAUUUUAGAAAUAAUGCCGAGCGAUUGAACACGUGGUCGGCGUUUUAGAGGCAAUGCCGAGUGAUUGAAGGUCGGCGUCGGCAUUUUAGAAAUAAUGCCGAGCGAUUGAACACGUGGUUGGCGUUUUAGAGGCAACGCCGAGUGAUUGAAGGUCGGCGUCGGCAUUUUAGAAAUAAUGCCGAGCGAUUUGAACACGUGGUCGACGUUUAGUGGCAACGCCGAGUGAUAGCCAGCUUUUCAAGUUACUUUGAGGAAAAUAACCGAAUGAUGAGGUGGCACGUCGGCUUUCUUGGAAAUAUUUGUCGGAUAUCCACGUGGCAUGCCAGGAUUUCGGAGAUGACCGUCGGGUGAUGACUGGGCGCCUUUUUGAAAGGGUAUCUGGCUCAAGAAUAUUCCCUAAGAGUCGCGCUUUUAGCCGCCUUUGCUUUCCGUGCCCUAGUUCUUGCAUUUCCGCAUCUGAAUCUUCUCUGCCACUCGCCUCCUACUCUGUUCCGCCAGUGAGAAGCAAGAUGGCGCCCAAGAGAAAAACUGCGAACUCGUCUGCUGCAGUGAUCCCCGCAAUCGACCCCAACAGCCAGUUACCUUUCGCAGGUAACCACAUGUCUGUAAUUUCUGAAGCUGAGCUUCUUCGCCUUGUCUCCAUCGGGGUUCUUCCUCCGCGGGAACUCUGUUCUUGGCGGGCUUGCCACGGGACUACUGUCCCAACCGAAGAUACCCACGAGUCAGUAGUUUACACUCCUUUCCUUCUUCGCGGCCUCGGCCUUCCCAUAUCUCCUUUUUUCCGUGGCAUCCUUGAUUUUUAUCACAUCAACCUGACUCAUUUGAACCCUAAUUCCAUUCUCCAAAUCUCUAUUUUCGUUCACCUUUGCGAAGCUUAUCUCGGCGUGCUGCCGCAUUUUGGCUUAUGGAAAUAUCUGUAUCACUGUCGUCCUGGGAUGGCCGGGGGGCAACAUCAGUUGGUCGGAGGUGCCAGUUUGGAGAUGCGCCGUGGGCGGAAGACCGAGUAUCUCGAGAUACCCCUCAAGGACAGCAUUAAAGGUUGGCGUCUGGAGUGGUUUAUAAUUGAUAAUUAUGGAAAUUCUCUCCCUCCCCGCUCAGGAAGACAGCCAGAUGUUCGUACUCUGAGUUGGACUGAGUCUCCCACGGAUCAAGAAGUGGCCGAGGCGGGCGUGUUGCUUACUGAAAUCGGAUUACUGAAAGAGAGAGGUCUGACUGCCGAAGCUGUGGUCACAGAUUUCGUUUUCAAAAACAUUCAGCCGCUGAAAGACAGGGCCUAUCCGGCAUAUCUUUACCGAGGGCUGGCCGACUCAACCCGAGUUACCAAUAGGAGAAUUCCUUCUGUUGAUUUGGUAAGCCGACUCGAACUGAUCCUCAGGGGUAAAGUUUCAAACGUUGGUGCUCCAGUGGCUUACUCGGCUUGGAACCUUCCUUCUCCCAAAGCUUUCACCCUUUUUGUGUCCAAUCCACCCGUGACUGAUAGCAAUUUGGGUCUUAGAGUGCGACCUUCUGCCGAGGAAGUCAGUGCUUUGGUUGCUUCGCUCGGGGCAAUUCCUGAUGAUGAACGGCAGGUUUAUUUCGAAGUGCCUCUGAACCCCAGUGAUGCUGACAUAAAUGAUAUGCUCGAUCUACUAGCUGAGGAUUCAUCCGAUGUUGCUCCUGAUGGUACAUUGGCAGUGGUGCCCCUUCCAGAGGUUGAUGCGACCUUGGACGUCCCAAAACCUGUCAGUACUCGCCCGAGGCGCCCUAGCCGAACCAGUCAGCCCGAGCCUUCUGCUGAUGAGCAGAAAAAGAAGAGAAGACGCCUCCGGCGAGUAUCCAGCUUUGACGAAGAUGCCAGUACCUUAGCUCCUGCUGCCGAAGAAAUGACUGCAACUGGCCUUGCUGACAUUGAUCCCAAUGGGUGUGCUCCGCCUGCUGCUGAUCCCAAUGAGGAUGCUGUUUGUGCUGUUACUGGGAGGAUGAGGAGGAAGAAAAUGAAAUUCCAUUAACUCGGAAAAACAGUCGGCAGUUCGUCGCUAGCGGUGGAAGUAGUGGAGUUCCUUCUCCCGCCUUGUCUGCCCUUAUCGGUCUGCAAGAACUGUCCAUGGCCAAUUUUGAUCAAGCUCUAGAGGAUAUGGUCCCUGAGAACUUGUUGUUGGAACCUGCAGACGCUGAUGCGACAGAAACUUGUGCAGCCGUGCCAGAUGCUGGGUUGAGGUCAUCCCGUGCCUCGUCGACCUUAGAGCAUGAUCUCGAGGGUCGGGAUGCUGCCCUGGAUCGUUCUGAUCCCAUGAAAGUAGCCGAAGGCCCGUCAACCUUAGAGGUGGUCACGGCAGAGAGCCUGGGUCCCAAGAAUGGCGCUGAUAUAUGCCCAGCCCCCGAGGAUGUCGUCGGGAGUGACUUAGCUCGGGCGAAGAGUGUAGGCCACUGCCCAGCCCCCGAGGGUGUUGCCGGGGAUGAUCCGGCUCAGGUGGGCAGUGCCGACUGUGACCCAGCCCCCGAGGGUGCCCGAGCAGGGUCUCCUUCCUGCACUUCCAUGGACGUUCACGCGGGUUCACCUCCACGCUCUGGCGGCAUGGUGGUGGCUCAAACUCCAGAUCAGGGGGUCGCUUUAGAGGGCAGCAUCCCCACUGGUCUGGCGUUAGGCUCUGCUGAAUGUACUGAGCUCGUUCCUGCUGGUCUGCUGCAAGCUGCUUCGGAUGGCGGUCUUGCACCUGAUUAUCCACUGAUCUCUCCUGAUUUGGGAAUAUCUUCGUUCUUCUCCAACCUCCAGGUAAUUGUGCUGUAUUGUAGCUUGAUCCCUACAUUGUAUGAACUGUUUCCAUUCUACUCAUCUGUUCUUCUCAUUAGGCUUUAGUGAAUGGGAUGGCUAGCCAGCUGAGAUUGCGGGGUGCUUCUGUCCCGGAAGUGGCUUCGUCUCUUGUAUGCUGGAAUCCAGUGUCGCUUCAACGUCGUGUGUCUGAGUUGGAGGCAACAAAUGCUGGUCGGUGCUCUUUUCCUUCUUCUUCUUUGCCUUUGCUCGUGGAUUGUUUUACCUUCUGACCUUAUUUCGUUUGAUUACCCCUUGAUAGGAAUGACUCGGCAGAUUGCAGUUCUUGAAGAAAAACAUUCCCAAGAUCAAGCUGAAAUGGCUCAACGGUGCGCUGACUUCGAGGAGAAGUAUUCUCAGAGUCAGAUCGAAUUGAGUCAGGUAUCUGCGGCUUUGGAUGAUGCCAACGCUCUGAGUUCUUCUCUUCAUGCUCAGCUUGACUCUGAGAAGGUAGCUUACGAACCCGUGCUUUGCCUUAUCAUGCUCUUGGAUUCUGAAUGAGUUGAUUUUUUGCUUGUAGGAAGAAAAACGCAUCCUUGCUGCUUCUCGCGACAACCUUGACAGAUUGUACCAAGAUUCCAGCAACUCGCUGACCAUCUUGGAGAGGAGCCACCGCUUUACGAUGGAGGAGCUGGACAAUCAGCGUCGUCAGCUGCAAGAAUCCUCGGACGAAGUGACCCGCCUUACACAGUUGCUAUCAGCAAAGGAUACCACCAUCAAGGGACUCCAAGCUUCUAAGAAAUCCAUUGCUCAAGAGUUAGAAACUGCCCAGCAGGCUGUUAAAGUUGCCGAAGAAACUGUGGUCACUUUCAAAGCUCAGCGCGAUAAGGCCCUGAACAAGGCCAUUCGAGCGGGACGAAUCUUGAUGAGAAGACCUGGCGUGGUUGUCCCUGAAGAUAUAAGAGCCGAUGUGAAUGCUGCCCCUGACUCCUCGAAUCGCCCUUCUUCGUCAGUCGUUCCUGAGAAAGACAUUGGAAAAUAAAGAAACAGUUCGUGUGCUCUGAGCGCGCAGUUAGCAUGAUCAAGUACUCGUUAGAGGUUAUCGGCUUAUCAUUCAAAUGACAUCAUCAUUUUCUUAUUGUACCCGAAUUUCGAAUUUGUGGUAACGCUACAUGAUGAUUAUGAAGUUUGUUUGUGGGAUAUGGAAAUCAUCCCCUGAACUGCGUAAGCGUGAGUAUGCUAUACCGGUUUAAACCGUAAAUGACUUUUAGGCGAUAACUCCGUUAGUAGGGUAUAGUGGUCCCCCUAGGUAAAGUAAGCGUGAGCACGUUGCACCGUCUUAAGUCGUUGCCGACUUAAGUCGAUUGCUUCGUUUGUAGGGCAUAGUGGUCACCCUGAGUUAAGUAAGCGUGAGCAUGUUGCACCGUCUUAAGUCGUUGCCGACUUAAGUCGAUUGCUCCGUUUGUAGGGCAUAGUGGUCACCCCGAGUUAAGUAAGCGUGAGCAUGUUGCACCGCCUUAAGUCGUUGCCGACUUAAGUCGAUUGCUCCGUUUGUAGGGCAUAGUGGUCACCCCGAGUUAAGUAAGCGUGAGCAUGUUGCACCGCCUUAAGUCGUUGCCGACUUAAGUCGAUUGCUCCGUUUGUAGGGCAUAGUGGUCACCCCGAGUUAAGUAAGCGUGAGCAUGUUGCACCGCCUUAAGUCGUUGCCGACUUAAGUCGAUUGCUCCGUUUGUAGGGCAUAGUGGUCACCCCGAGUUAAGUAAGAAUGCAAGUCAAUCAUAAACGAACCGAGUAUCUUUGAAAUCUAUCUUUAUUGAUGACAUAUUUCCACUUUACAUAGUACAUGGUCGCCCCGGCUGUUUUGAAAUACAGCUAGGGGUAAAACUUUCUGAGGUGCUCUAUGUUCCAAGAGUUCCCAACUUCUGUGCCAUCCGUCUGGGUGAGGCGAUACGAUCCGGGCCGAGUGACCUCUGCUACUAUGAAGGGUCCUUCCCAUAAGGGUGAUAGCUUGUGCCGUCCCUCCCCCGUUAGAAUUCGGCGGAGGACGAGGUCUCCUACUGAAAAGAACCGUUGCCGCACAGCCUUAUCGUGAUAGCGCCUUAGAGUCUGCUGGUACCGUGCUGAUUGGAUUACUGCAUUCAGUCGUUCUUCCUCAAGUACAUCAAUAUCCUCCAGCCUGGUGGCCUCAGCUUCCGCUAUGCUUUCGAAGAUCAAUCUUGGCGACCCAAACUUGAGGUCAGCAGGUAGCACUGCCUCUGACCCAUAGACCAUGAAGAAAGGAGUGUUUCCAUGCAGGGCUCGGCUAGGUUGGGUUCUCAGGCUCCAAACGACAUAAGGUAGUUCUCUUAUCCAUUUUCCUGCGAAUUUUUCAUUCUUAUCGAAGACCCUUUUCCUGAGUGCCUCCAAUAUCAUUCCGUUGGCUCGCUCAACCUGCCCGUUGGCUCUUGGAUGCGCUACAGAUGCGUAUUUGAUCUGAAUGCUUUUUUGCUCGCAGAAGUCAAAGAAUUCUGAGCUGGUGAAGUUGGAUCCUAAGUCAGUGAUGAUGCUGUUUGGUAUCCCGAAUCUGAAUAUUAUAUCCUGUAUGAAUUCCACGGCCUUGGCAGAGGUUAAAGAAGCAAUGGGCUUGAACUCUAUCCAUUUAGUGAAUUUGUCAAUUGCCACCAAUACGUGGGUGUAACCUCCUUGAGCUUUCUUGAAAGGUCCAAUCAUAUCCAAUCCCCAGCAUGCGAAAGGCCAAGUUACUGGUAUGGUCUGUAGCUGCUGUGCUGGCAUGUGCUGUUGCUUUGACAGGUAUUGACAAGCUUCGCAUCUCUGAACUAACUCGGCUGCGUCGUUCUUCGCCGUCGGCCAAUAGAAUCCUGACCUGAAGACCUUCCCGACUAGUGUUCUGGAGGCUGCAUGUAUUCCACAUUGCCCUGCAUGGACCUCCUCCAGAAGUUGCUUCCCAGUGGACGGGUUCCUUGUUGUGAAGAAUGUCCCCUAUUAGAAAACCAGUAACUACUAUGACUUUGUGGUCGUCAAAGUAGUGGCGUAGCUUGCGGGCAGUUAGAAGUACUGCAUAUAAUAGCUUCUGAACUUGAGGAUACUUUUUCUUCGAUGGACCCAGAACUUCACUGAUGAAGUAGACAGGAUGUUGUACCGGAUAAGCAUGCCCUUCUUCCACUCGUUCGACUACCAACACAGUGCUUACCACGUGAGUCGUACAAGAGAUAUAUAGCAGCAAAUCUUCAGCUGGUUGAGUUGGCGUAGCUCGCCGGGGCGGCUUUAGUACUGAUGGUGUUGUCAGGAAUUUCUUAAGUGCAUCUAGAGCUUCUUGUGCUUCUGAAGUCCAUUGAAACUUAUCUACCUUCUUAAGCAGCUUGUAAAACGGCAAGCCUUUCUCCCCCAGUCUGGAUAUAAAUCUGCUUAGAGCUGCCAUACAUCCUGUGAGUCGCUGAACCUUCUUUUGUGACCGAGGAGCUUCCAUCUUCAUGAUAGCUUCAAUCUUAUCUGGAUUAGCCUCAAUUCCCCGGUGGCUGACGAUAAAUCCGAGCAACUUUCCUGCUGGUACCCCGAAAACGCAUUUUUCAGGAUUGAGCUUCCAUCUAUAUCUUCUCAGGCUGUUGAAAACCAGCUGUAAGUCUUCAAUGAAGUUUUCCGGAUUCUCAGUUUUGAUCACCACGUCAUCAACGUAAGCCUCCACACGCUUGCCCCAGUGAUCGGCUAAGCAUGUUUGAAUGGCUCUCUGAUAAGUCGCUCCAGCGUUUUUGAGGCCGAACGGCAUGGAGGUAUAACAGAAGGCACCAAACGGAGUGAUGAACGCCGUUUUUUCCUCGUCUUCUUUUGCCAAACUAAUCUGAUGAUACCCGGAAUAGCAAUCUAAGAAAGACAACACAGAACAUCCAGCGGUGGAAUCCACCACCUGAUCUAUCCUCGGGAGCCCGAAGGGAUCCUUCGGACAGUGUUUGUUGAGAUCGGUAUAGUCGACGCACAUGCGCCAAUCCACUUUAUUCUUUUUGAGUACAAGAACAGGAUUGGCUAACCACUCAGGGUGUAAUACUUCUCUAAUAAAUCCAGCCGCGACCAGGCGAGUUAAUUCGGCACGAAUGGCUUCUCUCUUGUCGGGCGUGAAACGACGUAGCUUUUGUCGAAUCGGCCUCGCCUGGGGGUAGACUUUCAGUUUGUGCUCGGCCAGUUCUCUUGGGACUCCCGGCAUAUCCGCAGGUUGCCACGCGAAUACAUCCCGGUUAUCUUGCAGAAACUGGACGAGCGCGCUUUCCUAUUUGUCGUUCAAACUGGAGCUGAUGACAGCCGUCUUGCGCUCGUCAGCGAAUCCCAGGUUGAUUCUUUUGGUUUCUUCAGUUGGCCGCAUAGAGGUCGCGGCCUGAGUUUCAUUCGCCGGUACCGUGAGGCCUUCCUCAGGCUUAGAGUUCGCCGAUGUAGAAGGAACCGUCGACGGCUUGGUGGUGAGGGCUGCCUGAAUGGCCACUCGGAAACACUCUGCGGCGCCUUGGAAGUCGGCACGCACAGUUAUGAUUCCUCGUGGUCCCGGCAUCUUCAGUAUCAUGUAUGUAUAGUGCGGAAUGGCCAUGAAUUUGGCCAGUCCCGGCCUCCCGAUGAUGGCGUUGUACCCGCAGUCGAAGUUCGCCACCUCGAACCUCAGGAACUCGGUUCUGUAGUUCUCCGGAGUUCCGAAGGUGACCGGCAUGUAGAUGUGGCCCAGCGGGUAUUCCCCUUCCGUCGGCACGAUGCCGAAGAAAGGAGUGUCCGACUCGUGGAGCUCCUUGAGGUGAACUCCCAAGCCUUGGAGCGUACGGGGGAAGGUGACGUUGAUGCUGCUCCCCCCGUCCACUAGCACCUUCUUUACCCGGCUCUCUCGGAUCACCGGAUCGACGAGGAGCGGGUAUUUGCCUGGAUGGUCGAAGUUGAGCCACUGAUCCUCCCGAGUGAAAGUGAUCGGGUGCUCCGACCACCGGUACGGGGCGGGAGGACCGGUGGUCGCCACCAGUAUCUGGCGGUCGUUGAGCUUUUGUUGUCUUUUGUUCUCCUGCGACCCAUGUCCGCCGAAGAUGACGUUGACCUCCCUGUCAACGCGCGGGAAAGCUCCUCCUCCCCCCUCCUCCUGCCGAUGGGGCUGUCGUGGUUCAUCUGGUCCUCCCCUCGGCGGAGGAGGCGGUAGAGGUUGGAAGGGUCGGCCGUGCCCGACGGAGUGCUUGAAGUCCCGGCAGUUGCGAAGGGUGUGGCGCAUGUCCUUGUGGUACGGGCACUGGGCGUCGAGGAUGUCGUCCAGCGUGCGCUCACCUCCACGAGGUCCUCCUCGGGCGCGAGAGGCGGGUGGUCCGGCGACGUGUACUUCUUCUCGAGGCCUCUUCUCCCAGCGCUUGUCGGAUGGCUGGUUCGCGUCACGUCGUGGCGCUGCCGGUGCAGGCUUUGCUCCUCCAAUGAGAUCCUGGGCCCGCUCGUCGGCGGUGAUGUAGAGGUCGGCUUCUCAGAACAGCUCCUCGGAGGUAGUCGGCGCCUUUUGUAGUAUGGCUCAGACGAAAACCGAGUCAUUGGAUCCUCUGUAGAAGUCCUCGAUCACGGCCGCCUCCGUGACCUCGGGGAUGCGGUUUCUCAUGGUCUGGAACCUUUUAAGGUAUGACCGGAGAGUCUCAUCCCCCCGGCGCUUGAUGGAUUUGAGGUCCCAUGGUUGCGCCGGCUUGUCGGAGAGGGACUGGAAGUUGGCGGUGAAACGUCGACUGAAGUCUCCCCAGUCGUCGAUGCAGUGUCGGGGUAGAUGUCGCAGCCACUGCAGCGCAUCUUGCCCAAGGACGAUGGGCAGAUACGCGGUCAUGACGUCUUCGGAUGCUCCGGCAGCCCGAGCGGCAGUGGUGUAGACGGCUAACCAACCCCCUGGAUCCUGCUUAGGUUCAUAUUUGUCGACAUUGGAUACCUUGAAGUUGGGAGGCCAUUGGAUGGCCCUAAGGCGCGGAGUAAGAGCAGAUACUCCGCACGUGUCCUCCUGUCGUCGGGGAUGACGUCUGUCCCGGGGAGGGGAGUGGUGGUGGCGGUUCCUCGACCGUCCCCGGGUGGUACCGCCAGUUGAAGCUGUUGCCGACUCAGUCCUGGUGGCCUGGCUUUGAGUCGGGAAGCCAUGAUCUCGGUCAUACUCCUCCCGACGGUGAAUUUCGUUCUCAUGCCGCCGUUCGCGCGAAGCAUUGAUGGAGCUUCGCGCGUCUCGGCGACUGUUGAUGGUGUGUCGCAAAUCGUUCGGCGGGUGAGCGAGCGGUAGAAGAUGGUUGGCCGCCUGAGUAAACAGGCGUCGGUAUCCCUCGGCGUCGGGAGUCCGAGGAAGUCCGUCAGCUAUCCGAGCUAGAACGCCUCCGACUUCGCUCGGCGUGUUCAUAGCUCGAGCGAAGUCGGGGUUCAAGUUGCGCCCGAAGAGCGGAUUCUCGCGUCGUUGCCUUGCAUCUUGCUCGGCUUGCUCCUGAGUCCGACGGCGAUCACGUCGUCGAGAGUUCCUUCGUUCCCUGAGGACGCGUUCUUCCGGAGUUUCUCCUAUCUCUGAGACCUCGUCUCGCGAGACAGGCUGCUCCGGAUCCCUUUCUCCAGCUGCGUGAUGUCGUCGAACGUUCCUGCGUCGGUUCCUUCGUCGGCGGGAUUCUCGCUGAGGCGGUUCUUCUCCAGGCGCGGUCGGUUCAUCGUCGGAGAUGGCGGGCGACUCUGCUCUCCCGAUGAAGAGGACGUCGGGGUAGAACGGUAUUGCUGCCACGGCGACUUUCUUUCCGUUCUCCUUUGAGGUCGGAGGAACGGGAAGAACGACUUGCCUCUCCCUGGUCUCCUUCUUUCUCACGACCCGUGUCCAUUCUUUCGUCGGGGAAGUAGACAGCGGAGUCUUCCGGGUCAGCGAGCUUCUAGCUCCAGCCUCCCCGGAGACGAUCUUUUUCCGAAGAGCCGGAGGUAGCGUCUUUCCAGCAUUUUCGGAGUUUGUUGGAGGAGACUUCUGUUCCGGCAGAUCUGCGAGGCGGUGUAGAAUUCCUUCUUCAUCUGCUACGGACGAGAUUGUCCCGAAGCAGAAUACAGAUCCGGGACGUACGACGAUUUUGCUGUGGAAGGUGACGACCAUUGAGCUAGCUUGGAUCGUCAACACACCCCCUACCUGGCGCGCCAGCUGUCGGUGUUUUGGGUCCGACCGCACACCCGGGGUUGCCCCUCAAGGUGUUUUUAGGAGUAGGACGGUGUCAACGACUGUAGCAAAAUGGUUCGUGCUGGUCGCACGAGGGACAGUGGACAAGAUUUGCAGGUUCGGGCCGCUUAGAAGUGCGUAACACCCUACGUCCUGGUGAGUAUAUGAGCGUGGUUACAAGAGGGUUCUCUGUAGAGAGUUUAUGUGGGUGGCUAAGUAGAACAGGGGCGAUCGUUCUGAAGGGGUGCCCCCUAGGUCUUAUAUACUCGACCGUGGGGCAGUACACGUGAGUAUGAUAACAACAAGUAGCUAAAAGAUAAUGAACCUCUUGAGUUUAUCCCUACGUAACCCUUGCCGACUUAUCCUCGCAUGGCUCUGUUGCAUGUGGGCUUCAGCGCGAGAAAGUCGGGUCUCCGUUGUGAUUCAUUCGCCCGACGUUGUGGGCCGUCUGGGUUUGCGCUAAUCAGUCUCACGUCUUCUUUUCUUUGUUGGUUGUCCUUCCCUAGGCCCACGAAAGAAUGACCUUACGAAUUAUUGGGCCCUUGGGCCUUUCGUGAGGCCUUUUACUUCUUUAGUGGACCCAGGGGAUAUCUAUCCCCCACAGCUGCAGCGACAGCGGCGAGGGCAGCACGGCUGGCGGCGGCGAAACUGGCAGCAGCGAGAGCGGAAGUAGAAGCAGCGGAGGCGGCGGAUGCUGCACGUGCGGCGGCAGCAGAGCUCGAGGCUCUGUGCGGCAGUAGAGCCGGCAGCUCUGCUUCUGUCGACGACAACACCGACGAAGAGCUCAGGCUGGCGAGGGAAGCAGCGCGAGAGCAGGCGGCAUAGUGGGCAGCCGCACAUCCCCAUGGGGGCGCGCGUGGCGGCAGCCCAGAUAGGCGCCGACGCGCCGCCGACGCUCCGGGAGAGGGUGCAUGCGGCGGCAGCCCAGACGGGCGUAGACACACCGGCGGUGCUCCCGGCCGCGGCGACCGAGUCGACGGAGAUCGCGGCCUCUACAGGCAGCGUGACUCUCCCUCCUCGGAUCGGUACCAUGGUCGCAGCAUGGCCCAUGCCAUUGUCAGGAACAUCUAUCCCGGCGGUGGGUGGCCUACCCUUACCAAGGCCAACUACGUCGAGUGGGCCACGAUGAUGAGGGUACGGGUUCAGGUUUGCCACAUGUGGGAAGCAGUUCGAUACGGCGACGUCGACUACCACGAGGAUCGACGGGCGCUUGAUGACCUCAUUGCUGCAGUCCUGUCCGAGAUACAAUUUUCGCUUUCCCAGAAGCGGACUGCCAAGGAGGCCUGGGACGCCAUCGCUGCGAUCCGCACCGGCAGCGACCGUGCCCGUAAGACCACACUGCAGGCACUUCACAAGGAGUGGGAGAACCUGGCCUUCAAGCCAGGUGAGGAUGUUGAUGACUUUGCUCUCCGCCUCAACACUCUGUUGCAGAAGAUGGUGCAGUUCGGCGACGACACCUACAAUGAGGAGAGAGCUAUUGAGAAGCUCUUCUGUUGCAUCCCGAGAAGUACAAGCAGAUUGCUCGCUCGAUCGAGUCUCUGCUAGACCUCUCCACGAUGACGAUCGAAGAGGCGAUAGGUCGUCUCAAGGUGGUCGACGGCGACGAACCAUAGGCUCCCUCUGGGCCUAUCACUAUCGGCGGGAAGCUACAUCUCACUCGGGAGCAGUGGGAGGCCUGCCAGGGUGACAAGAAGAAGGGGGAGUCCUCCUCAACACGAGGCCGCAAACGCGGCAAGCCGCGCAAGGCGCGUGGAGGCGCCCAGGCCAGGGCGCGAGGACACGCUGAGGGUGGUGCCCGUGGAGAUGCCCAAGGCGACGCCGUCGGCAACAAGAAGUCGGCACGAGACGACGGCUGUCACAACUGUGGCAAGCUUGGCCACUGGGCCAGGGACUAUCGACAACCACGACGUGGCCAGGCCAAUGUCGCACAGGCGGAGGCGGAGGAGGCUCUGCUCCUAGCACAUGCAAGCAUCGAGCUAUCUCCAGCGGCACCGGCCGCAGCGACACUCCACCACCUUGAUGAGUCGAAAGCACGCUGAAAGGGAAAUGUGCCCUUGGGCCAUUUCUAAGUAUUUUGGUGAUUGAGUGCAAACACAAGUGCUUAAAUGUGAAAAUAUGUCCAUGGAUGAACAAAGUGCAAAUCACAAGUUAAGGUAUGUUUCUAAGCCUUAGUACAUUGGUUUUGUGUACUAAUAUUCUUGUCUAAGUGUUAGAAACAGAAAGAAGAAGAGAAGAGAAGACUUGGCUGUGUACAGCCAGGAGGCUGUUUCGGUCUGGGGCACCGGACUGUCCGGUGGUGCACCGGACAGUGUCCGGUGGUGCACCGGACAGUGUCCGGCGCGCCAGGCUGCUCCAGCCGAAGAGGCCGCUCUCGGGUUUUUCUCCGGCGACUUCGGCUAAAAUUCACCGGACUGUCCGGUGUGCACCGGACUGUCCGGUGAGCCAACGGUCGGCCGGGCCAACGGUCGGCCGCGCGAUCGGCGCGCGACACGUGGCCGGGCCAACGGUCGGAAGGAAGCACCGGACUGUCCGGUGUGCACCGGACUGUCCGGUGCGCCAGAUCUGCAACGGUCGGCAACGGUCGGCUGCGAUGUUUAUGGAAAUAAAUCGGGCACCGGACAGUGUCCGGUGUGCACCGGACUGUCCGGUGCGCCCGACGACAGAAGGCGAGGAUAGCCUUCCAGAUGUGCUCUCAACGGCUCCUAGCUGCCUUGGGGCUAUAAAAGGGACCCCUAGGCGCAUGGAGGAGAAUACCAAGCAUUCCGACAACUCUUCUAAGCACCAAGACAUCAAUCUCACGCAUUCGUUUCAUUGUGAUAGCAUAUAGAGCUCUUGUGGAGUUGUGAACUCUUUGUGUUGCGUUGCGAGCUCUUGUUGCGACUUAUGUGCGUGUUGUUGCUCUGAUUUUCGAGUCUUGUGUGCGUUGCUCAUUCCCACCUUACUCCGUAUUUCUUUGUGAACUCAAUUGUAAGGGCGAGAGACUCCAAGUUGUGGAGAUUCCUCGCAAACGGGAAAAGAUCAAAGGAAAGAAAAACACCGUGGUAUUCAAGUUGAUCAUUGGAUCACUUGAGAGGAGUUGAGUGCAACUCUCGUCCGUUGGGACGCCACAACGUGGAGUAGGCAAGUUUUGUACUUGGCCGAACCACGGGAUAACCACCGUGUCAACUCUGUGAUUGCUUUCUUGUGGUUAUUGUGUUUUGACUCCUCUCUAGCCACUUGGCCAUACUUGUGCUAACCCUUAACAAGUUUUUGUGGCUUAAGUUUUGAAGUUUUACAGGAUCACCUAUUCACCCCCCCUCUAGGUGCUCUCAAUUGGUAUCAGAGCCGUUCUCUUCAAGAAAGGGACUAACCGCCCGAAGAGAUGGAUCCUAAGGGGAAGGGAAUUGUGAUCAACGACAAGGAGAAGGAGUCCUUCGUCAACGAGCCAAGGGAUGACAAGUCCAAUGACUCGGGCUCGGGCCACAAGCGAAAAGAUGGGAAGAAGAAGAAGACAAGACGCAUCAAGGAGAUCGUCUACUACGACAGCGAUGAGUCCUCUUCUUCCCAAAAAGACGACGACCACGACAAACAAAGGAAACCGGUUAAUUCUAACUUUUCUUUUGACUACUCUCGUAUUCCGCAAAGUUCAAAUUCAUAUUUGCUUUCCAUUCCACUCGGCAAGCCCCCACACUUUGAUGGGGAGGACUACGGAUUUUGGAGCCACAAAAUGCGUAGUCACCUAUUCUCUCUCCAUCCUAGCAUAUGGGAGAUUGUAGAUAGUGGAAUGCACUUUAAUAGUUCGGAUAGUCCUAUAUUCAUUAAUGAGCAAAUCCAUAAGAAUGCACAAGCUACUACUGUUCUUCUAGCCUCAUUGUGCAGGGAUGAAUAUAAUAAAGUGAGUGGCUUGGAUAACGCCAAGCAAAUCUGGGAUACCCUCAAGAUCUCUCAUGAGGGAAAUGACGCUACCUUGCUCACCAAAAUGGAGUUGGUGGAGGGCGAGCUUGGACGGUUCGCGAUGAUAAGGGGCGAGGAGCCAACUCAGACAUACAACCGGCUCAAGACCCUUAUCAACAAAAUAAGGAGCUACGGAAGCACGCGAUGGACGGACCACGACGUCGUCCGACUAAUGCUCAGGUCCUUUACCGUUCUUGAUCCUCAUUUGGUGAAUAAUAUUCGUGAGAAUCCCAGGUACACCAAAAUGUCGCCCGAAGAAGUCCUAGGAAAAUUCGUCAGCGGGCGAAUGAUGAUCAAGGAGGCAAGGUAUGUGGACGACGCCUUGAAUGGACCGAUCAACGAGCCACAACCUUUUGCUCUCAAAGCCACAGGGAACAAGGAGGCGCUACCCAGCAAGGUGGCGCAAAUUGAGGCGGCCGGUCUUAAUGAAGAAGAAAUGGCCCUCAUUAUCAAGAGAUUCAAGACGGUGCUAAAGGGUCGCAAUGGACAGCCGAGCAAGACUAAGACCAAGGGGAAGCGAUCAUGCUUCAAAUGCGGUAAGCUUGAUCAUUUUAUUGCUAACUGUCCCGAUAAUGAUAGUGACCAGGAAAAGGGAAACAAGAGGGAAAAGAAGAAGCAUUACAAGAAGGCAAAGGGCGAGGCGCAUCUAGGCAAGGAGUGGGACUCGGAUUGCUCCUCGUCCGACUCCGACAAUGAAGGACUCGCCGCCACCGCCUUCAACAAAUCAACCCUCUUCCCCAACGAGCGUCACACAUGCCUUAUGGCAAGGGAGAAGAAGGUAUGUACUCGCAACUCUACCUAUGCUUCUUCAAGUGAGGACGAAUCUAGUGAUGAGGAUGAAGUAGAUUAUUCAUGUUUGUUCAAGGGCUUAGAUAGAUCUAAGAUAGACAAAAUUAAUGAAUUAAUUGAUGCCUUGAAUGAAAAGAAUAUACUUUUAGAAAAGCAAGAGGAUUUGUUGUAUGAAGAGCAUGAUAAAUUUGUUGAGGCACAAAAAUCCUAUGCUUUAGAAGUUAAGAGAAAUGAAAUGCUUUCUUUUGAACUAUCUACUUGUCAUGAAACCAUUUCUACUUUGAAAGGUGUCAACAAUGAUUUAAAUGCUAAAUUAGAAGUAGCAAAUAAAUCCAAUUCUUGUGUAGAACAUGUUGAAAUUUGUACUAGGUGUAAAGAUUUUGACAUUAAUGCUUGUAGUGAACACCUAGUUUCAAUUUCCAAGCUUAAUGAUGAACUGGCUAGUCUUAAUGCUCAACUUAAGACUAGCAAGAAUGAUUUCGAUAAGCUAAAAUUUGCAAGGGAUGCCUACACAAUUGGUAGACAUCCCUCAAUUAAGGAUGGACUUGGCUUCAAGAGAGAAGCUAAGAACUUAACAAGCCAUAAGGCUCCCAUUCCCGCCAAGGAGAAAGGGAAGGCCCCUAUGGCUAGUAAUGUGCAAAAGAACCAUGCUUUUAUGUAUUAUGACAGGAGACAAACUAGAAAUGCUUAUAGGAGUUAUAAUGCUUUUGAUGAUUUUGACUCUCAUGCCAUGUCUGCUUCUAGUUCUUCCUAUAUGCAUGGUAGAAAUAUGUCUAGAAAGAAUGCUAUUCAUACUCCUAGGAAAGUAGUGAAUGAACCUUCCACAAUUUAUUAUGCUUUAAAUGCUUCCUUUGCUAUUUGUAGAAAGGAUAAGAAAAUUGUUGCUAGGAAAUUAGGGGCAAAAUGCAAGGGAGACAAAACUUGCAUUUGGGUCCCUAAGGAUAUUUGCACUAACCUUGUAGGACCCAACAUGAGUUGGGUACCUAAGACCCAAGCCUAAAUAUGCCUUGCAGGUUUAUGCAUCCGGGGGUUCAAGCUGGAUUAUUGAUAGCGGAUGCACAAACCAUAUGACGGGGGAGAAGAAGAUGUUCACCUCCUACGUCAAGAAUAAGGAUUCCCAAGAUUCAAUCAUAUUCGGUGAUGGGAAUCAAGGCAAGGUAAAAGGGUUAGGUAAAAUUGCAAUUUCUAAUGAGCACUCUAUCUCUAAUGUGUUUUUAGUAGAGUCACUAGGAUAUAAUUUACUAUCUGUUAGUCAAUUGUGCCAUAUGGGAUAUAACUGUCUGUUUACAAAUUUAGAUGUGUCUGUCUUUAGAAGAAGUGAUGGUUCACUAGCUUUUAAGGGUGUAUUAGACGGCAAACUUUAUUUAGUUGAUUUUGCAAAAGAAGAGGCCGGUCUAGAUGCAUGCUUAAUGGCUAAGACUUGCAUGGGCUGGCUGUGGCAUCGCCGCUUAGCACAUGUGGGGAUGAAGAACCUUCACAAGCUUCUAAAGGGAGAACAUGUGAUAGGUCUAACCAAUGUUCAUUUCGAAAAAGAUAGACCUUGUGCAGCUUGUCAAGCAGGGAAACAGGUGGGAGGAGCGCAUCACAGCAAGAAUGUGAUGACCACUUCAAGACCCCUGGAGCUGCUGCAUAUGGACCUCUUCGGACCCGUCGCCUAUCUAAGCAUAGGGGGAAGUAAGUAUGGUCUAGUUAUUGUUGAUGACUUUUCCCGCUUCACUUGGGUGUUCUUUUUGCAGGAUAAGUCUGAAACCCAAGGGACCCUCAAGCGCUUCCUCAGGAGGGCUCAAAAUGAGUUUGAGCUCAAAGUGAAAAAGAUAAGGAGCGACAACGGGUCCGAGUUCAAGAACCUUCAAGUGGAGGAGUUCCUUGAAGAAGAAGGGAUCAAGCACGAGUUCUCCGCUCCCUACACACCACAGCAAAAUGGUGUGGUAGAGAGGAAGAACAGGACGCUCAUCGACAUGGCGAGGACGAUGCUAGGAGAGUUCAAGACCCCCGAGUGCUUUUGGACGGAAGCCGUGAACACUGCUUGCCACGCCAUCAACAGGGUCUACCUUCAUCGCCUCCUCAAGAAGACGUCGUAUGAGCUACUAACCGGUAACAAACCCAAUGUAUCGUACUUUCGUGUAUUUGGGAGUAAAUGCUACAUUCUAGUAAAGAAGGGUAGAAAUUCUAAGUUUGCUCCCAAAGCUGUAGAAGGGUUUUUGUUAGGUUAUGACUCAAAUACAAAGGCGUAUAGAGUCUUCAACAAAUCAUCGGGUUUGGUUGAAGUCUCUAGCGACGUUGUAUUUGAUGAGACUAAUGGCUCUCCAAGAGAGCAAGUUGUUGAUUGUGAUGAUGUAGAUGAAGAAGAUGUUCCGACAGCCGCUAUACGAACCAUGGCGAUUGGAGAAGUACGGCCACAGGAACAAGAUAAACGAGAUCAACCUUCUUCCUCGACCAUGGUGCUACUCCCAACUCAAGACGAUGAACAGGUUCAUCAACAGGAGGCAUGUGAUCAAGGGGGAGCACAAGAUAAUCAUGUGAUGGAGGAAGAAGUGCAACCGGCACCUCCAACCCAAGUUCGAGCGAUGAUUCAAAGGGAUCAUCCCGUCGACCAAAUUCUGGGUGACAUUAGCAAGGGAGUAACUACUCGAUCUCGACUAGUUAAUUUUUGUGAGCAUUACUCUUUUGUCUCUUCUAUUGAGCCUUUCAGGGUAGAAGAGGCCUUGCUAGAUCCGGACUGGGUGUUGGCCAUGCAAGAGGAGUUAAACAACUUCAAGCGCAAUGAAGUUUGGACACUGGUGCCUCGUCCGAAGCAAAAUGUUGUGGGAACCAAGUGGGUGUUUUGCAACAAACAGGACGAGCACGGAGUGGUGACGAGGAACAAGGCUCGACUUGUGGCAAAAGGUUAUGCCCAAGUCGCAGGUUUGGAUUUCGAGGAGACCUUUGCUCCUGUGGCUAGGCUAGAAUCAAUUCGAAUCUUGCUAGCAUAUGCCGCUCACCAUUCUUUCAGGUUGUACCAAAUGGAUGUGAAGAGCGCUUUCCUCAACGGGCCAAUCAAGGAGGAGGUGUACGUGGAGCAACCCCCUGGCUUCGAGGAUGAACGGUACCCCGACCAUGUGUGUAAGCUCUCUAAGGCGCUCUAUGGACUUAAGCAAGCCCCAAGAGCAUGGUAUGAAUGCCUUAGAGACUUUUUACUUGCUAAUGCUUUCAAGGUUGGGAAGGCCGAUCCAACUCUUUUUACAAAGACAUGUGAUGGUGAUUUGUUUGUGUGCCAAAUUUAUGUCGAUGACAUAAUAUUUGGUUCUACUAACCAAAAGUCUUGUGAAGAGUUUAGCAGGGUGAUGACGCAGAAAUUCGAGAUGUCGAUGAUGGGCGAGUUGAACUACUUCCUUGGGUUCCAAGUGAAGCAACUCAAGGACGGCACCUUCAUCUCCCAAACGAAGUACACGCAAGAUCUGCUAAAGCGGUUUGGGAUGAAGGACGCCAAGCCCGCAAAGACUCCGAUGGGGACCGACGGACACACCGACCUCAACAAAGGAGGUAAGUCCGUUGAUCAAAAAGCAUACCGGUCAAUGAUAGGUUCCUUGCUUUACUUAUGUGCUAGUAGACCGGAUAUUAUGCUUAGCGUAUGCAUGUGUGCUAGAUUUCAAUCCGAUCCUAAGGAGUGUCACUUAGUGGCAGUGAAGCGAAUUCUUAGAUAUUUGGUUGCCACGCCUUGCUUCGGGCUCUGGUAUCCAAAGGGGUCUACCUUUGACUUAGUUGGAUACUCAGACUCCGACUAUGCUGGAUGUAAGGUCGAUAGGAAGAGUACAUCGGGGACGUGCCAAUUCUUAGGAAGGUCCCUCGUGUCAUGGAAUUCUAAGAAACAAACCUCCGUUGCCCUAUCCACCGCUGAGGCCGAGUACGUUGCCGCAGGUCAGUGUUGCGCGCAACUACUUUGGAUGAGGCAAACCCUCCGGGACUUUGGCUACAAUCUGAGCAAAGUCCCACUCCUAUGUGAUAAUGAGAGUGCUAUCCGCAUGGCGGAAAAUCCUGUUGAACACAGCCGCACAAAGCACAUAGACAUCCGGCAUCACUUUUUGAGAGACCACCAGCAAAAGGGGGAUAUCGAAGUGUUUCAUGUUAGCACCGAGAACCAGCUAGCCGAUAUCUUCACCAAGCCUCUAGAUGAGAAGACCUUUUGCAGGUUGCGUAGUGAGCUAAAUGUCUUAGAUUCGCGGAACUUGGAUUGAAUUGUAGCAUACAUGUACUUAUGCUUUUGAUCAUGUUUCUUUUUGCAUUUUGUUGCUUAUUAUGGUGCUCAAGUUGUACAAACACUCCCUGGACCUCACAAGUCCGUUGCAAAGUGAUGCACAUGUUUAGGGGGAGAUGUGUUACAACUUGACCCUUUGAGACUAACCAUGUGCUUGAGUUUGAUAAUUUAGUCUCGACGGAGGAUUGAAAGGGAAAAGGUGGACUUGGACCAUGAACGACUUCCACUGCACUCCGAUGAGAGGGUAACUAAUUCCACGUUCAUCUCAUGAAAUCUUAUUGCCAUUUGCUCUUAAUUGAAGACUUUGGUGAGGCAAUGGGGUUAAAAAGAGGCCAAGAUUAAUCCCGUUUUGGUGCUUGAUGCCAAAGGGGGAGAAAAUAAAGGCCAAAGUGAUAAAUGGAUCAGCUACCACUUGAGAGAUUUUGAAAAUAGUAGAAUAGAGUUUUGGUUUUGUCAAAAGCUUUUAUUGUCUCUUAUUGUCUCUAUUGUCAAAAGUUGGCUUCUUGUGGGGAGAAGUGUUGAUUAUGGGAAAUAGGGGGAGUUUUUGAAAUCCUUGAUCAAUCUCUUUUGGAAUGACUCUCUUUAUGCUUCAAUAUGUGUGUUUGACUUAGAGAUAGAGAUUUGAGUUUGAUUUGCAAAAACAAACCAAGUGGUGGCAAAAGAUGAUCCAUAUAUGUCAAAAUUGAAUCAAAACCAAUUUGAGUUUUUAUUUGAAGUGAUAUUGCACUUGUUCUAUUUACUUUAUGUUGUGUUGGCAUAAAUCACCAAAAAGGGGGAGAUUGAAAGGGAAAUGUGCCCUUGGGCCAUUUCUAAGUAUUUUGGUGAUUGAGUGCAAACACAAGUGCUUAAAUGUGAAAAUAUGUCCAUGGAUGAACAAAGUGCAAAUCACAAGUUAAGGUAUGUUUCUAAGCCUUAGUACAUUGGUUUUGUGUACUAAUAUUCUUGUCUAAGUGUUAGAAACAGAAAGAAGAAGAGAAGAGAAGACUUGGCUGUGUACAGCCAGGAGGCUGUUUCGGUCUGGGGCACCGGACUGUCCGGUGGUGCACCGGACAGUGUCCGGCGCGCCAGGCUGCUCCAGCCGAAGAGGCCGCUCUCGGGUUUUUCUCCGGCGACUUCGGCUAAAAUUCACCGGACUGUCCGGUGUGCACCGGACUGUCCGGUGAGCCAACGGUCGGCCGGGCCAACGGUCGGCCGCGCGAUCGGCGCGCGACACGUGGCCGGGCCAACGGUCGGAAGGAAGCACCGGACUGUCCGGUGUGCACCGGACUGUCCGGUGCGCCAGAUCUGCAACGGUCGGCAACGGUCGGCUGCGAUGUUUAUGGAAAUAAAUCGGGCACCGGACUGUCCGGUGCGCCCGACGACAGAAGGCGAGGAUAGCCUUCCAGAUGUGCUCUCAACGGCUCCUAGCUGCCUUGGGGCUAUAAAAGGGACCCCUAGGCGCAUGGAGGAGAAUACCAAGCAUUCCGACAACUCUUCUAAGCACCAAGACAUCAAUCUCACGCAUUCGUUUCAUUGUGAUAGCAUAUAGAGCUCUUGUGGAGUUGUGAACUCUUUGUGUUGCGUUGCGAGCUCUUGUUGCGACUUAUGUGCGUGUUGUUGCUCUGAUUUUCGAGUCUUGUGUGCGUUGCUCAUUCCCACCUUACUCCGUAUUUCUUUGUGAACUCAAUUGUAAGGGCGAGAGACUCCAAGUUGUGGAGAUUCCUCGCAAACGGGAAAAGAUCAAAGGAAAGAAAAACACCGUGGUAUUCAAGUUGAUCAUUGGAUCACUUGAGAGGAGUUGAGUGCAACUCUCGUCCGUUGGGACGUCACAACGUGGAGUAGGCACGUUUUGUACUUGGCCGAACCACGGGAUAACCACCGUGUCAACUCUGUGAUUGCUUUCUUGUGGUUAUUGUGUUUUGACUCCUCUCUAGCCACUUGGCCAUACUUGUGCUAACCCUUAACAAGUUUUUGUGGCUUAAGUUUUGAAGUUUUACAGGAUCACCUAUUCACCCCCCCCCUCUAGGUGCUCUCACACGCGCUUUCCUCGGCGACGGCUCUAGCAAAGACAUGAUCGAAGGAUGGUGCCUCGACACUGGCGCCACUCAUCACAUGACCGGCCGACGAGAGUUCUUCACCGAGCUUGACUCUAACGUCCGAGGCUCCGUCAAGUUUGGGGACGCCUUCGGCGUAGAAAUCAAGGGUGCUAGCUCAGUCGUCUUCACCGCCGCGUCUGGUGAGCACAGGCUGCUCACCGGAGUCUACUACAUCCCCGCGUUGAGGAACUCUAUCAUCAGCUUGAGAUAGCUAGAUGAGAACGGUUCGCGCGUGGAGGUCGAGCACGAAGUCAUGAGGAUCUGGGACCCCUCUCGUCGCCUUCUUGCCAAGGUACGUAGGAGUCCAAAUCGGCUAUACAUCCUCAAUGUGAAGGUGGCACAACCUUGCUGCCUUGCUGCUCGUCGAGACGACGGGGCAUGGCAGUGGCACGAGCGCUUCAGGCACCUUAACUUCGAGGCCCUGAAGCGGCUCAGUGCCAAGGAGAUGGUACGAGGCCUGCCGUGCCUUAACCAUGUGGAGCAAUUCUGCGAUGUCUGCGUGUUGACAAAGCAGAGACGGCUCCCCUUUCCCCAGCAAUCGAGCUUCCGAGCCAAGGAGAGGCUCGAGCUCGUGCAUGGGGACUUGUGUGGCCCGGUGACACUAGCCACACCAGGAGGACGACGCUACUUCUUGCUGCUCGUCGACGAUCUCUCCCGCUACAUGUGGGUGAUGAUCCUUGGUAGCAAGGGAGAGGCUGCGAACGCCAUCAGGCGUGUGCAGGUCACUGAGGAGGCGGAGUGCGACCGCAAGCUGUGCGUGCUGCGCACCGACAACGGUGGCGAAUUCACGGCGGUUGAGUUCGCGUCGUACUGCGCGGAUGAGGGCGUUCAGCGCCACUACUCCACGUCGUACAGCCCGCAGCAGAACGUCGUCGUCGAGCGGCGCAACCAGACGGUUGUGGGGAUGGCUCGGGCUCUCCUCAAACAGAGGGGAAUACCAACUGUCUUCUGGGGAGAGGCGGUGGUGACAGCGAUUUACAACUUUACAUCCUCAACCGCUCGCCCACCAAGGCUCUCAACGGGAUGACACCAUACGAGGCUUGGCAUGGGCGCAAGCCGGCGGUCUCUAACCUACGGGUCUUCGGCUGCCUCACGUUCACCAAGGAGCUUGGCCACAUUAGCAAGCUCGACGAUAGGAGCACUCUGGGGGUGUUCAUUGGCUACACGGAGGGCUCGAAGGCCUACCGCAUCCUUGACCCAGGAACACAGUGUGUGCGCACGGUGCGCGACAUAGUGUUCGACGAAGGGCAAGGAUGGGCGUGGGACAAGGCGGUGGACGACGGCACGACUCCGAUGUACGUCGACUUCACCAUCGAGUACGUCCACUUUGAGGGAUCUGGGGGAGUAGGCAACUCCUCUCGGAGCAGGUCUACCCUAGCCCCCAGGUCUCCACAGACUCCAGCGCCACGCUCUUCAGCUCCGGCUACAACAAGCUCUUCAUCACCACGCACUCCAGCCACGACUUCGGCUACAGUGAGCUCUUCGCCACCACGUACUCUAGCACCGACGGUACCCUCUCCGGGAACGUCCUCUCCGAUACCAGCUCGUGUCGAGCACGACCCAGUGGAGCUUGUGACCCCACUCUCCCACGACGAGGAGCGCGUCGACGCGUGCUACGACGACGAGUCGUUGCGGUAUCGAAGGGUGGAGGGCCUUCUCAUUGACCCAUCGGUGUCGGGCCCGGUGUCUCGCAUUCUGGCAGGAGAGUUGCAUCUUGCAUGUGACGAUGGUGAGCCUCGGUCUUUCACGGAGGCUGAGAAACAUGCGGCUUGGCAUGUCGUGAUGCAGUUGGAGAUGGACGCAGUUGAGACGAACCGCACUUGGGAGCUCGCUGAUCUCCCUCAUGGUCAUCGCGCGAUCACCCUUAAGUGGGUGUUCAAAUUGAAGAGGGAUGAAGCUGGCGCCAUCAUCAAGCAUAAGGCUCGCUUGGUGGCACGCGGUUUCUUGCCGUAGGAGGGGAUCGACUUCGACGAUGCCUUCGCCCCUGUGGCACGGAUGGAAUCCGUGCGACUCCUCGCGCUGGCAGCCCAGGAGAGCUAGCAUGUUCAUCACAUGGAUGUCAAGUCGGCGUUUCUUAACGGCGACUUAAAGGAGGAGGUCUACGUACACCAGCCGCUAGGUUUUGCGAUCCCUGGCAAGGAGGACAAGGUGUUGCGCCUGCGCAAGGCUCUCUAUGGCUGCGACAGGCACCGAGGGCGUGGAAUGCCAAGCUGGAUUCCACACUCAAAGGAAUGGGCUUCACGCCAAGCCCACACGAGGCGGCCAUCUAUCGACGGGGCAAUGGAGGAAGUGCCCUGCUAGUGGGUGUCUACGUCGACGACUUGGUGAUCACCGACACCAAGGAUGCAGAGGUGGCAGCAUUCAAGGAAGAGAUGAAGGCCACCUUCCAAAUGAGUGACCUGGGACAUCUCUCCUUCUACCUGGGGAUUGAGGUGCACCAGGGAGACUCCGGGAUCACACUUCGCUAGACCGCCUACGCCAAGCGCAUUGUUGAGCUGGCUGGGCUCACUGACUGCAACCUAGCUCUCACUCCGAUGGAGGAGAGGCUGAAGCUGAGUCGUGACAGCACGACGGAGGAGGUGGAUGCUACAUAGUACCGGCGUCUUGUGGGGAGCCUUCGCUACCUUGUCCACACACGGCCUGACUUGGCAUACUCCGUCGGCUACGUUAGUCGGGUCCUGUAGCGACCGACGACGGAGCAUGAGCAGGCUGUGAAGAGGAUCAUCUGCUAUGUUGCGGGGACUCUCGACCACGGUCUCUACUACCCGAGGUGCCCUAGGGAGGCACACCUUAUCGGGUACAGUGACAGCGACCACACCGGUGACAUCGACACUAGCAAGAGCACAAGCGGGAUCCUCUUCUUCCUCGGCAAGUGCCUCAUUAGCUGGCAGUCGGUCAAGCAGCAGGUGGUGGCCAUGUCCAGUUGCGAGGCCGAGUAUAUAGCGACGUCCACUGCUUCGACUCAGGGGCUCUGGCUGGCUCGACUGCUCGAUGAUCUCCUCAGGAGAGACACUGGAGCGGUGGAACUCAAGGUGGACAACCAGUCCGCUCUGGCAUUGGUCAAGAACCCCGUGUUCCAUGAACGGAGCAAGCACAUCCGGAUGAGAUACCACUUCAUCCGAGACUGCUUGGCAGAAGGGAGCAUCAAGGCGCGCUACAUCAGCACCAAGGAUCAGCUUGCAGACCUGCUCACCAAGCCCCUUGGGAAGAUCAAGUUUCUUGAGCUUUGCUCCAGGUCCGGGAUGACCCAACUUUCCCACAAGACAACGCCCAAGACUUAGGGGGAGAAUGAUGGAAUAAGUCUUGGGCAUCUAGAGGACAACAUUCGCUUUUUGACUGUCUUCUAUAGUCUCUUUAGCAUCUAGAGAACAACAAUCGCUUUUUGACUGUCCUCUGUAGUCUCUUUAGCAUCUAGAUGACAUCAAUCGCUUUUUGACUGUCCUCUGUAGUCUCUUUAGCAUCUAGAGGAUAGCAGUCGCUUUUUGACUGUCCUUUGUAGUCUCUUUAGUAUCUAGAGGACAAUCCUGCUAUGUAGUGUGUGUGAGAAGAUGUGGUAGUGCAGCCUCUAGGGCUAUAAAUAUGUGUCUCCAACCCUUAGAUGGGUAUGACAUUGUGUAGUGUUUGAUAAAAUAAACAGAAAAUAAAUUGUCUCAACUUAUAGUGUCAUCCUUUUGAUGAGAGUUAGAGUCCCUCUACUUACAUAUAUGUAUGUGGGGUACGAAAAAAUAAUGUGUAAAAUGUCCACUACUUAAAAAAGUCCAACUGGACCUGCAAAGCUAGGCCAUGCCACAAUAUUAUUGCUUAUCAUCCAAAGUUCCAGAUGGUCCCCCGACCGGUUUCCACGCUACUACAAGGCGACAAGAGAACAUACACAAGAACAACUAGAGAUUUGCAUUACAAUUUACAAUACAAAUGAGAGAGCACAGCUGCACAGGACAUCACUAGAGUCCGUUGACGGCACAAGGCUGUCAAGUUUCAGAGGUUUCUCAGUCUGAAAGCCAAUAAUCAGAGAACUAUCUUGGGCAAGGUGUCUCCAAGCCUUCCCAAAUUAUACCACCUUUCUACAGACCCAGCAUACCCCUGCUUGCUCCCGCCUCCCACCUCUGUGCCGAGGCAGCCACUGAUCCAGAUGGCGUUGGUGAUCUCAUGAACAUCGGUGCCACUAUCCGUUGGGGGGCUAUUGCAGCUUGCCCCGUCACUGCCAUACCAUUGGUCAGUAUGUCACGGUUAGCAACAGGGGCAGCUACGAGAAGGAAGCCCGUGUGCUGUGUGCUGUUACCAGCAGUAGCUGCUGUUGUGACAUUCUCUUGGAAGACCUCGGACGGCUUCGCUUCCCUUUGGGGCGUCUUGGCCCGGCGUCGUUUUUCUGAAGGGGCGGCCAAAGCUUCAGGGAUGGCAUUGUCACCGCCCAACAGGCUCUUCCUGUGCACAGAGCACAAAUCCGUUCCCCAUUUUGCGCUCGCGCCACACCCUUGGAACCUGCACCGGCUGCCCCCACCAUGCUUGAUGCAGAAAUCUGUGCGUCCCUGCGCACUCUUUGUACAUCCUUGGAACCUGCACCGCCUUCCCCCACCGUGCCUUAUGCAGUGAUCGGUGUUCCCUUGCGCGCCCUUCGCGCACCCUUCGAAUUUACAUCUCUUGCCGCCACCGUGCCUCACGCAGCGGUCGCUACGGCCUUGGCCACAUGCUGCAUUUGGGCAUCCAGGGACCACACACCGCCUCCCACCUCCGUGCCCAAUGCACAAAGGCGUGCCUCCAUGCGCACCUCUUGUACAGCCCCGUGCCAUGCAGCCCUUGUUAACGCCGCCGCUAUGCAACUUACAGUGGAUUGAGUUCUCGUGUGCUUGCUUGCUGCAGUUAUCGUUCUUGCAAAGCAUGCUUGCCCCAGAGAAGAUAAAUUGUGCAGCCUGACCCAAAGUGUACCCAGAACUAUCCUUUAGUUUACCUCGAUCACCACCUUCAUGCUUGACAUGUAACUCUUGCUCAGUGCAUGGCACUGCUGCAAUGGAAACAGAUCCCUUAAAUUGGCUGUCGUUAACAGGGCGCACAGAUAAACCUGAGCUCUCCAGUCCGCUCUGGAGGUAACUGAACUGUUGGCAUGACAACUCUCCACUGUGAAUUUUGCAGUACACUACCCUUCUAUCGACAACCUCAUUGCACCCAGGUUGCUGGCACCGGAUCCUGUCUGUUUUACAGGAAAUCAAUAUAUUAGAAAUGUAUAAAAUACAAUACAAUUGAUAUAAAUAGGAAACAAAAUAGCAAAUAAAGAAAAGUUGAUAGAAAAACAGCAAAAACUAAAAAUCAACAUAUCAUAUAUUAGCUCCAGAAUUCAUGACAAAAGAUAUCUACUAACCCACACUAGCACAUGGAAUGUGUCAGAAAAUUAGCUUCAUUUUUUUCUCUCGAAUACGCAGGAGAGCUGCACAUCAUUAUAAUAAGAAAGAAGAUAAAGAGGUAAAGAACCCCCAAGAACAAACAAAAACAAACAGACCCACACCCACACACCCUAAGCCAAACAAACACUAGUGGGUCACUGAUUACAACAUGAAUAACACGACCAAACCACACGGUCGACCUGGCUGAUCCAAUAUGAAAAUUAGCUUCUUGAGUCAUGACUAGUUUGUGGAUUGCAUUAAUUCAUUGGAACAUAAAAUAUGUAACAUAAUGUCUUCUUGAAAUUCCAAAAUAAAGAUGCACCCUUGCAAAAUCACAAGCUAUGGAGACGUUGAGGCAUGGAGAAGACAUACCACCAAAAGAACCUUCUGCCAUAUGCAUCUGAAUUCAAAGAAAAAGAACACAAUAAACUUUUAGGAUGGUGUGAUUGAUAAUAUACCUAAACAUGUUACUUAAAGCACAGACUAAUAUACCUUUAUACGAGACAUAUGGUCGUGACCCAUUACUGUUGUGUGUUUUUCUGCAGAAGUUCAAAUAUAAAACUAUGAAAUAAUGAAACAGAGAUAUAAUAUCAGCAGCAGUAGAUAUAUGACCGGUUAUGGAGAAUGCCAGGAUCCAAAUAAGGCUCCCAAACCCAAACAUAGACCCGAAUGGAGGGUAAAUGGAUAUGUUUAAACAGACAAAAGGAUAGUUUGAUGAUCAAGUAAUUUGUGAAAUAGCACAAUUUGGGUGUUUGAGAAUCGGGUUAAACUGGCCAUGUUAAUCACUAAGAUUGGUUGCUCUAAGUACAAUACAUAUGGAGAAGGAAAACUGUAUUAUUUGCAGACCACAAUUCUCAGCUUUAUUGUUGUAUAUAUGAAAACUUUAUCGCAUAUCACCACUAGCUAACCUCUUUGUUCUUGGCUACCAAUCUGUAACAUGGAAAAACCAUUUGAAUGAGGUAUCUGGUUCUUAUAUUGCAAACAAUUAGAGAUUCAUUACUGCACUCCAGUCGCUUCUGAUCAUAACCAAAAGUUGGUGUCAGUACUGUUAGCUCCAAGCCAUUCUUCAACAUAUACUGCAUGAGAGAUUAACAGUAGUUUCAGGUUUUCAGCAGCAAAUAGGUAUAAUAGACCAAACAAACCAUAUUGUAAUAAACUAUUUGGUUAUUAAAUACAGUAAACAUAAGUUCACACUUUUAAAAACAUCUUCCAUAGACUCAAUUAGUACAACAAGUGAAACAGGACAUAAAACAUGGAAGAAGAAAAAAACAGAGGCAAGAGGUCAUAAGCAACAUUCUCCCAUGGUUUCCCUUCGCUAUCAGUAUUUAGAAUAACUGUAGCUAUCACCAAAUAUUAUGAGUAAAGUGACAAUGAAGAACAAAAAGUACUGAAUAACGCAAAAAAAUCGCUCCUCAAAUGUGGAAAAGUAACGUAAGUCAAUCCAAUUAGCUAACAACGAUAAACUUGACAGCAUGUACAGGCACACUCAGUAAGUGGCAUUGGUUACUUUAGCCAGAUGAUAAAAUUCAACCUGACAAAAUAGUAGGACAGAAUAGAGGAAAAUGUAAAAAGAACUAAUGCAGAUGUAUGACCUAAUGGUGUAAUGUCUCAGAGAUAUAAACUAAUGGUGAAGUUCCAAUUUGUAGUCCCUAAUCGAACAAUGAACCAUCUCACAUAUUUGAUCAAAGGAUAAAGGGCCAGGCAACCAGCAAAACCACAAGAAAUACGUUACGAGCGCUGACUAGGUGCUCCCUCUUGCCCUUGGGGCGAGAGGAACAUAGGUGGCAUAAAACAAUCAAGCAAAAUGUUUUAGCCAGAAUACAGCUACUCGAAUCACUCAAGUCAAAAGACAAUUAUACUUAUAUGGCUACUGGUAUGAAGGAAAGGAGCUGCAAAGUAUCUGACUGAUAUUUUUUAUAUUUCAAAGGAUGGCUAGUCGUGUGUGGUGCUUAAUCAAGAAAAAAGGCGCCGGCUUCUUCAUGAUUUUCUGGCUGAACGGUCUGCAGAAUAUGCAACGCAAUAAACAGGUAGCUCUGCAUUGUAAGGUCGUAUAUGUAGUUCAGAGUGAGACACAAUGGUUCUGUCUCCCAACGACCUGUAUUUUAUUUUUGAAACUAAUGUUCAACCUCAAAAACAUGAAUUCAUUCAUUACUUAAUUUAUAUAUGCUACACAAGUGGGGACAGAUGAUGUGCAGCAAAGAAACAUUGGACAGAUGAUGUGAGGUUCAGAGGCAACAGGUGCACCUACUGUUGUGUCCAUGAACAAAUAACAUACUGUAGUAGAUUUUAAGUGGCAAAUUACUGAGAGCGGUAGGGGGAGCAUAACGUGCAUCACGAGUGAAACUAACAGUGAGCAUUUCUCCCACUUAAAUCGAAUUUGGUAACGAUAACGUACAUAUAUACAUAAAAAUAGCACAGCCGGUGGUCACUUUGCCAUGCCGAGGCUGUACGAUUACUGAUUAGAACAACAAGGCCUUGAAAACAUAUGGCGAGCGCUAGCUCCAGGAGCGACGAUCGGCGCGGUUAAUCGCGCGAUCAGCCUCAACUGACUGAUCCGCCGAAUCAGGGGCACGCAGCGGACACGGUAGUGCAUACCCCGGUAAUUUUUGCAUCAACAACAAAAGAAAAAAAAUAUAUAAAGCAAAUCAGUAGGCAUAAUACACGAGCGUACAGGCUCUUGAUUAGAUCAGAUCCAGCUAGGGUUUAGGUGGCCGGUUCCGCUAACGCACGGCAGGGAGUGAAAGGGAAGAGACGGGGUGGGGCGGGCAAGCGUACAUGUAGUGGGCGUGGGGGUGGUCGUCGCCGGCGAAGUCCUCGGCAGCGGCGGUCGACCGGCCGUCGCCACGAGGGACAGGGGUCCCCGAUGAGACAGAGGAGGAAAUGCAGGAAGGGAAGAGAAUGCAGAAGCAAUUUGGCACUAGUAUAGUAUAGGAGAGUAUUUUUUUUUAGCAGAAAGAGGAGAGGUGAGGGGGGACGGGACGGGGGAGAAGGGGAGGCCAGGGUGGGCAGCACACCUUUGGCUUUGAGAAGUAAAGUUGCGGGCAUAAUACAAGGGAACAGUAGAUCGCCGCUGCUCCUUCGAUUCGAAUCCCCACCCCGUUCCUUCCGCCGCAAGCGCAGCCGCUGCCGCCACCGCCGCGCGUGCUCCAGCCUCCGGCUCACCGCCGAUGGGCUCCACGUGCCUGUAGUGCGGCGAGGGCGCGGUGGUGGCGGAUCCGGACUCGGACGCGGUCGUUUGCACUUGCACCUCGUGCGUGCGGCGUCAUCCAGGACGGCGGCGGCGCGGAGUUCGUCCACCAGUCAACUUCCAACGAUGCAAAAAAAAAAAAAAAAAAAAACAGCAAGAGGAUAUGUUCGUGAAUGAUGGGAUAUUGCUCAUUUUGAGUGCAACUAGGCAAUACCUAAUAUUCAAUCAGAUCUUAUGUGUAAAUAUGCUUAUAGCCGUUUGCUUCUCCUUGUAGUCUGGCUGCAUGAGCCAGGACGGCGAGAUCUUAUGUGUAAAUGUGCAAGCGAGUCUCUUAUAGCCUGUUUGCUUCUCUCUGUAGUCUGGCUGCAUGAGCCAGGACUGCGGGAAUCUGGCUCCAGGGAUACGACCAAUUUGCUCGCGUCUAUAGAGCCUGGUCUAGAGUGCUUUAAGUACCGUGCGAGUCUGGUUUCACUCUAUACGUAGGUAACCAAACAUACACCUCGCACGCGUAGAGCCUGGUUAACAACAACCAAACACCAGCUCAUUACAUCCCAUCAUGUAAGCACCAGCAAAUACAUGCAGCCAAACACAUAGUUAAGGGUUGUUUGGUUCUAUAUCUAUGGUGCCAAAACUUGCCACGCAAUUUUACGCCACACUUGACUAAUGUGACUAAGGUUAGGCGUUCAAAUUCUACGCCACAAUUUGCCAUGUCUAAAAGAAUCUUGCCAUACUUUUACCAGUCAUUGACGAGUAAGAUCUAUGUAGCAGGAAAAAAAUGUUGCUACAACUAUGGUUUCAAACCAAACACAUGACCAAUUUGAUCAAAUUUGGCUAAAUUUAGAUGUGACAAAUCGUGGCAAGUUAGACAGUAAAUUAAACAAUCCUUAGUUUGUUAGAUCAUGAUCUAAUUUGUAGACAUGACCGUGAUUUACUAGAGAGUUUCCAUAAAUCUACACGAGGUAGUCAAAUAGACUUUUGUGGAUAUUUGUAUGCAUACUUUUUGUAGAGCGUUGCUAUACAUGACUUUAUUGAUAGACUCAAAUACAAGUAAGGCCGUCUAGUAGUCUAUGAUUUAUUAGUUUAAAAUAAGGACAACAACAACAACGGUAGAUUAACGUUGUUCGUACACUCAUACUCCAUUCGUAUGGAUGAGUGGUACACGAAGGACUUCUCUUUUUUUAAGUUACAUGAACUUUUCCUUCCAAGUAAAAAAUCGGCAGAAACCAUUGUCGCAUCCACAUCCCCGUCACUCCGUCAGUCCAAAUCCAUUGAUGACAAAGCGGCCGAGUCGCACACUCCAAUGAAGGGAAGCUUUGGUUGGUUGACUGCUCCAUCCACCCACCCCCUACAGUUCAGUUCAGUUCAGUUGGUCUAGGCCAUGGCCAUGUCCGCUUCCUCCUCCUCGCGCGCCCUCCUCCGCCGGAUCGGCGGCGCGCUCCUCCGCCGCUCCUUCUCCUCCUCAUCCGCCGCCUCCGCAGGGUACCACGUCGCGGGCGGGCCCAGCUACAUGCGCGGCGCCGUCUUCUGGGAGCCCGGCCGCCCGCUCACGCUCGAGGAGUUCCGCAUGCCGCGGCCCAAGGCCGGCGAGCUCCUCAUCAAGACCAAAGGUCCCGCCUUUCCCCCCUUCUUCUCGCACUACAUUGCUGCUACGCUACGCUUCCAAUUCUGAAUUGCCACUCGACUCCAGCGAUUGCUAGUGAUAGAGGUUGCUUUGUUGGAUAACCAAAUGCAAAAGCUGCUCGAUUUGGUGGUUGCGCGCCGCUGAUGGUUCGCUAGAGUCCCAACCAUGCGAGUGCGGCGCGGCAGAUUGCAGUCUUGGGGGAUUCGUUUCGAUGAACUGAUCUGAUUCCUAGCAUCUGUGUCUGACAUUAACGUGGUGGUGUUCACCAACUUGGUGCAGCCUGCGGGGUCUGUCACUCCGAUCUCCAUGUCCUCAAAGGCGAGCUCCCUUUCUCCACGCCCUGUGUCGUGGGCCAUGAGAUCACUGGAGAGGUGGUUGACCAUGGCACGCACACUCCUGUUGAGAUCAUCAACAGGUAUGGCCGACGUGACAGAUCUGUUGGGCUGUCAAUUCGCUUCUGUUAGGCAUCAGGUGCCGUUUUGGGUUACUUCUCUGAAAGACUGAAACUGGAAACGUUUCAGGUUCCCAGUCGGAAGUCACGUCGUCGGCGCCUUCAUAAUGCCAUGUGGGAACUGCUUCUACUGCGUUAAGGUAGAGCAGCUUUGUUGAAUUACGGCAUAUGUUUCUGUGCUUUUCUUGCUUGUUACGCUCAUGCCCAUUGAUUUAAUACAGGGCCAAGAAGAUCUGUGUGAGUCUUUCUUCGCGUAUAAUCGUGCCAAGGGGACACUCUAUGAUGGCGAGACACGGCUGUUUCUAAGGGGCAAUGGUAACCUGAGGAAACAGAUCCACAUCAUGCAUCAUCAUCAGUAACACCACAGUAUUUUUUUUACCGAGAACACCACAGUAUAAUUGCUUCAAGUAACCUGAAAAUUCUCCAUCUGCAGGGAAACCGGUGUACAUGUAUAGUAUGGGAGGGCUUGCAGAGUAUUGUGUUGUCCCAGCCAAUGCGCUAGCAGUUCUCCCUGACUCACUGCCAUACACAGAAUCAGCAAUUUUAGGAUGUGCAGUGUUUACCGCGUAUGGUGCCCUGAGGCAUGCUGCUGAAAUGCGGCCUGGUGAUUCAGUAGCUGUGAUCGGAGUUGGAGGGGUUGGGUCAAGGUCAGCUGAUGUCUGAUAAAUUUGAGGAUCUUUCUUUUCUCCACUUAUUUUUUUGGGACUAUGAAUGCACAAACAAACAUGACCCUUCUUCUUCCCUCUUUUAUCUUAAAAAAGCAGUUCUUUUAUUUUGCAGCUGUUUACAGAUAGCAAAAGCCUUUGGAGCUUCCCAAGUCAUUGCAGUGGAUGUCCUUGAUGAGAAGCUUCAGAACGCUACAACACUUGGAGCAACCCACACUGUAAAUGCAGCAAAAGAUGAUGCAGUUGAAAGGAUAAAGGUAUGUCUCAAACUGUCAAAGUUUGUAAUCUAUCAAUGAAGUUCAGAAAGUAAUUCUAUAUAUCUACUUCAUUACAAGUCCUGUCAUUGCUUAUCUUGUUUUUCUUUUUCUUCAAGUGGGCUGUGUCAAAAUGUGCAUAUGGAACUUUCCAGCUAUGUAUUGAUACUAUUCAGAUGUGAAUGCCUUGCUGUUCACAGGAAAUUACUGAUGGUAGGGGUGUAGAUGUGGCUAUAGAGGCACUUGGUAAGGCGUUAACAUUUUCCCAGUGCGCCAAGAGCGUGCGUGAUGGAGGCAAAGCUGUUAUGAUCGGGCUUGCUGCAACGAACGUAAUGGGAGAGGUUGAUAUAACCCGUCUUGUCCGACGACAGGUAUGCAAUUGAUUCCUUGUUCAUCCUUCUGUAUUGUGGUUCCUUGUCCAUCCGCUCAUGUUUAUUUGGAACCAGGUGAAAAUCAUUGGCUCAUAUGGCGCAAGGGCUAGGCAAGACCUUCCUCAGAUAGUGAAGCUCGCGGAGAGUGGUGCCUUCAAUCUCCAAAACACCAUAUCAAGGAAAUGCAAAUUUGAGGAGGCGAAUGGCGCCUAUGAGGAUCUCAAUCAGGGCAAGAUCGUAGGACGAGCUGUGGUUGAGAUCAUGGAGUGAUGACGGACAAGGUAAUCAAUCCUGUGGUUCCAAGUCUGGGUCACACAACAAUAAAGUUUUGCGUGCUCUUUCACAGCAUUGUCAAAAUCUGUAGAUGACCAAACUGCAUUGUGUGUGUGUGUGUGUGUGUGUGUGACAGUGUGUUGUUGGAAUUAACAUUUGCCCUUAAAUUAUGUCUGUACACGCCCAAGGGCUGGUGUCUAUAGGAGUCCAAUCCUGUUAGGUCCUAACAGGAUUGGACUCCUAUAGACACCAGCCCUUGGGUGUGUACAAAGAAGGCACAAGUUGUCUAACACAACCAGUUCCUGAGCCUACUCCGAUAAACAACUGCGGUUAGGAACUGUUAGGCCACCUUACCCAUCAUCAUUCGGAAAACAACGCAACAAAAUGAUUCCACAAACUAACCGUCAACUCUGGAAGCAAUAAAUGAAAACCAUAAGGGGAAAAAACAUCCUGAACAAUUCUGGGACAAGGGUGAAGGGACAAAGGAAUGCCAACCCUGUUUACACUACAACAUAGCCAAAAGCAUCAGCUACAAAACUUUACCAAGGCCUGUGUACUUUGAUCACAUAUCAUCUGAUUGAAAACACCAGCCAAAAAAUUCCCUAAAACAUGGAACAUACAUGGACAUGAACUAGAGCCUCUACGAUAGUAUGGGCGCACUUGACUGGAUCCUUGGGUGCUUGCUAAGAAAACAUGCUUUAUGUGCAGAUACGCCCAUAUCUGUCUGCUUAUUUUGGCCUUCUCCCACUUGGUUUGCAGUUUUUUCCAGCUCUACUUGCUUCAUCCUGUCCUGAUUCAGUGUUCUGGCAUUUUGGGUAACAUGGGCAGUCAACAGAUCACUCUUUUCAUCCACUUUUCCGCUAUUGUCACAUUCAGUUUGGCCCCUGUCAACUGAUGUGCUUUUGUUGAAUACUCGACACCACACCAUCUGCCCACCAUCUUUGCUUAGGCUGGUACUAGGCUUCUCACAUAUCUCACAACCAAAAAAACAUUGUCAACCACCAUUCACAAAACAAGGAACCACUUCCAUAACCAACCAAAAUCAUCGACACCUAGGUCUCAAAAUGAAGAAACAUCUGUAUGUGGUUGCAAAAUGUGAAUCACUAGCAUGUAAGAUCAAUUAUCAUCCAACAAAACCAGGCCAUGGCAUGAAUGUACAAUCAGUUUCCUACUCUGUUAGGACAAUACCGCAUGACCUAAUUCGUUCCUAAAAAGAGCAAAAAGAAAUAGUCAGCAGAUCAGCCAACAGUUUCCCCAACUGGUUAGAAGCUGCCGUCAACCAGGUGCCCCUGCAAUGCCUCAGCGAACCAAAUCAUGCUUGCCAAUGCCAGGUGAUUGCUCGUCUGAUUACUUUGGCAUAAUACGACAGAUGUCUCAAGCUUUUAUCUUCUCAUAGAAAAGAAGGAAAGCCUCGUGCUUGAGAACAUCAUCUAGAGAGAUAUUUCUGAUUCUUAUAUCAUUUGCUUGAAACCAAGAGGAAGAGCUGCUGCUCAGCUCCUUCUCACUGACAAUCCUGCUUCCUCUCACAUAAGCGACAAAGUGCCCCGGCGUUACGGUCCUCCCGAGAUGCUCAAUGACACCAACUAGACGAUAUCUGGCAUCAUCUUUGUCUGUAGACCUGAAAAUUUGCAAAAUAAGAAUUUCAAAAGGUCAAGCGAAUGAAAUGUUAGAUUAGCUAUCAACAUCACUAACAAGAAAACACUAUCGGAUUAACAGUUUUGACAUAUACCAAGUGACUAAACAGUACUGCUCUGAUCCCGACACACAAAAACAGAAUUAGUGUAACACAGUACAGUUGUAUUAAUAGUGAAUUCAAUUCAUUUUUGAUGUGCACAAAAAGGGAAAAAUAAAUCCUUACACCGUGUCCAGCAGUUUAACCAUAAUUUACCCAAAACACUUUCUUUGCAUUGUUCUGCACUGUUCGCAGAGUGAAGUUUAAACAUGGAUAUGGGGAUGGGUAAGCUGCUGAAGAUGUCGCAUAUGGCAUCUGUGUGAGACCCAACACCAGUCAGGCAGUCAACACAAUUCAAUUAGACUUCCAAUCAGCAUGCAAUGGAAGUACCAGAUGAUAGUUGCAUAUUGCCCCAUUUUCACAGUGCAGCCAGAUACUAAAAAAAGCAUGUGACUAUACUAUUAUAGAAAUCUUUGUUCUGUGCCAUUCAAAAAUAAUUCAAACCUUUUCACCACUGCUGAUCUUUUUGUGCAUAUAAUACAGAGACCACACUUGGGUCACCAGGAGUGACAAAACCCCAGCAGAAACAACACAGAAAACAAAAGAAAACCCAAGUAGCACGAGAUAAGGUGAAAAAUUAUUAAGAACUCAAACAAUUUUACUUCUAGCACUACUCCAGGACAUGAAUGACAACAGGAAAUUCUUUUAGUGACAUAAAAGUACCUCCCAAAUCAGCAAAAUUGAAACAUGCAGUCUAAACAACUCUUUGAACUAAAUAACAUAUCUUCUUCGAACUUCCCUAAAGAUGCUAAACAAACUAUGAAAUAAAAAAGAUAGCUAUUGAAAAUCGAAAGUUCGACUGCACAGAAUGACAGAAGUAUUCAACUAUUAAUUAUUGCUGUUAAAAUCGAUCUGUUGGUACCUGGGGUCCAGAUAUUCUCCUACAUCAAUAUUUUCCUCGAACUUCACAUGCCCCACUCUCUUAUCAUUGAUAUUGAAUCUGAGCACAUGAAUAGUUAAUACUGGUGGCAGCUUGCUAAGACAAAGUGUUACAUAUGCAUGUCCACCCGAAUUGAUGUUUGCCACUAUCUGCCCACCAUCUUUGCUUCGGCUGGUGCUAGGCUUCUCACAGAUUUCGCAGCGGUUUUGUACCUUCACUUUUCUAAAAUAAUAUUUAAUGCACUGCUUAACUGAUGUGAGAGAGACAGCUGCCUUCUUUUCUUCUGCAAAACAACAAUUUUCAUCCAGAAAAAAAGUUAACAUCUACGAGUUUUUCAGAACCUCAAUCCUCCACAUUAGAAGUAACUUCUCCGAGAAUGCCUGAGAAACUGCUGACCUAACAGACCAGGUUGAGUGAAAUAAAGACAAGAAUUCAACACCGGUAAGCUAUGUUCGAAUGGCAAUCCAAAUUACCACACUACGAUAGAACAGCUUCUCCAGUUCAGACUGCUCAAACAUCCCCAACUGUUUUAUGUGGUCAUACUGAACUGUCAUUUCUCCAACACAUGCAUAGAAGUAGUGCUUUAACAACUCCCAAAAUUUAGGUACUAGGUAGUGGUCAAGAGUCAAAACUCGUCUCUGAGAAAUGAAAUGUUUCCUUAUAUUGAGCAAAAGCAGUUACCAUCCAUAUGACACAGCCGUUUAUACCAUUCGUUCCUAAAUAGACUUAUGCUCUGGGGUGCCACCCCAUAUAUGCAGAUCUGUUAACCAAUUUUUGGCAGACAAGUUGAUUAGGUACAGGAGCAUGUAAGCUUACCCUCCUUCUGAAUUCGUCGGCAUUGUUUUAUAGCUGGGACACUUCUGCUUGGAUGCUUCUUACUAGGUGGCAAUGGCAGUGAGAGCUCAUAGAAUUCUUCGUCCUUGCCUGCAGUGUUCAGGCAGCGACUGCAGGUCCACAUAACAGACACCUCGCCCUUGAAAAUGGAAUCGACAACUGUGGGAACAUCAUCCUUUCUCACAUCAGGAAGCUUCUUCUUCCGUUCCUCAUCGAUCAACCCAUUGCGCACAUGGACCAGAAGUUCUUGGCAGUCUUGGUGAUCAGUGGUCCUGUACCCCGCAUCCAAUAGGCAUAUACUUUCCAUGAGUCUCCGUGUGUUCAGAAAUGCUCCUGCAUCAUUCCCAGACCUCGUCUCCAAAAAGAGCUCCUUCAGCGCAACACCGAGGGGCCCUGCUGGAGCACGAGGUCCUAGCAUCGACAUCCACAGAUCGUCAAGCGCAAGGAGGCACUGCACCAGUGCAUUGACGUAGCAUUUGGCUCUGAAGUUCGGCAUCCCUCUGACAGCAUAGCCAUGGUUAUGGGAACGCGCUGCUAAGGCGAUCACCUUGAGGCUCAAGCUGUGGGCACACUGGAAGCAGUAAGCAGCAUCGGGUUGGUCUAUCCACAGCGCAACUGGAUGGCAAGCUGAUUUGGCAUGGAGCUGCGCAUGCCCGAUUGGUCCAUCCUCAUUGCUCGCCAGUCCGGCGCAGAAACACUGGCUGCAGCCCGAGCACAUCACGAAGCGAGGGUUUAGGAGAGCCGGAUUCCCAGCAACGGCCUCACGCCGGCAGUCCACGCACUGUGGGUGGCCCUUCAAGCCCUCGAUAGUUUCUAAGAACUGGUGCAUCUCCAUUGUAUCAUAGUGGAAAUCCUCGCACUCUUUGCUGCCGGCGUAGUCAGUGACGACAUCGGUUUUCUGGGAUGCUGCCGCGUCGCCGCGCACAGAAUACCUGGGCUGCAGGAGCGGGGCUUUGCCUGAGCUCGUGCCCUUCUUCGCCGCCCUCGCUCCCUUCUCCUCCUUCCCCAUCGCGUAGACUGGAAUCGGAUGAAAGAUGGAAGAAAGGAAUCGCGUCAAAAGCCAAUAAGCCAUGAAAUGCAGGAAGAAGAGAAAAAGCCAUCAGAAGAAGAUGUCAUGGGUAGGGGUAGGACCAAGAAAUGCCAGACAAGAAAACCACGCAUCCUGGAGAGGAUCACGCACCGCGCGCCCAUAGAGAAUCAAUAAGUGCAAAUAAAAAUGAAAAGCACUGCCCAGCCCGAGAAGUCGUUUUGGCGAGGCCCGCCCGCCGUACAAGGAAACGUCAAAGAAGCCGGGACGCGGCAGGCCGGGAAACCCACCAAGACAAGAACCGCACGCACGCACGCUCUAGCAGGGACCAAGAAGAACACCGCGCGCAGCAGCUGCAGCUGCACCGACUACGACGUACGUCGACAACAGAGAAGUAUUCGAAUUCCAACGCAGUGGUGAGGAAGGAAGACGAAGCAGCAGCAGGGGAAACCAACCGACCAAGAAGCCGCAUGUUCUGGCGAGGAGCAGUCAGAACAAGAGCAAGAGCAGCGGAAUCGGACGGUAAGAAAAAAAGGCCAUGUGGAAUGCGGGAGGACAUCUACCUCGGUUCGGGCGGGGCACGGGGGAGCGGCGGGAAUGGCGUUCGCGGUCGCGGCUAGGCCUUGGUAGCGUUGGGACGGUGGUCGAUGAGCUGGCUGGCCCUGUUCGAGUCCACGCAGAACUGGACUUUGGACCAACCGAAAUAGGGCCCAUAAGAAAAAAAGGCCGAGUAAUAGGCUGCUCCCGGCCCGACAAACUUCAUUCAAUCAUAAGAAUCGGGAGUGAGAAGUUGAGAGUUUUCCACUUAGAAUAAGGCAUAUUUGGUAAGUGGUAACUCAAUAUUUUCUUCGCCAUGUGGGGGAUGCCCCUACUCGUACAUUGUCCUAGCUAGCGACAAGGUUCACCUGAAGAGCUGGUAAACCUUGUAUAUCCUCUCCUAGUUCAAAAUCCACACACUCGAUAGUGACUCUAACGCAGAUAUGUAAGAUCUGUCCAUGCUUGCAUAGAUCAUAAAAAUAUUGCAGUUCAUAUAUACAUUAUAAAAUCAAUAUCUGUUCAUGAAGAAUAAAAGGUUAAAGUUUGCACUCUUUUUCCCUCUGUGACUUUACUUUUUACUCGAAAGAUUCUCACACAAGAUAUUUAGUGAGACAACAUUUACAAUACAAUUAGCGAAUGUGGUGUGCACUUUUCUUUGAGCACCGUUUUUUGUCACAGAAUUUUUGGAUGGAGUUUUUAAUGAGACAUGUGCAUAUCGUGAUAAUCGUUCAAGAGAGUGUUGUAAAACAUACAAACUCUAGCCUAGAAAAAAAAGGAACCAUAAUAGGAUUAUGGUUUGUAUCUAGUAUGUUUUAUAUGUAUGUGAGAUCUUACCGACUCUUAGAUCUUGCAUAACUAAUACUCUUGAUGAGAAUGUUUAAGGAGAAAAACAAUCCAGUACAGAGGAUCAAUUCUUCGGAAAAUGCAAUCAAUAUACUUUUCGGAGAACAGACGAAAUGGGCUUCACCAUCCGAAGGAAUUUAGACAAAGAUUGCAAGAGCUGCUGCUCAGGUCCUCCUCCCUCUCACAUAAGCCAUUCAAGGAAAUGAUACAGCAGGUUAACAGCAUUCCUCCAGUUGAGAAACAACAAGACAUGUAUGUUCACAAGACAGCAACAAAACAUGUACAGCAGCAGAUGAUCUCUGAAGCCCUCACAACCUACGAAUGAUCUGUCGCUUCCAUUCGCGUACAGUUAAUAAUUGGAGGAAAAAAAUUCCUAUGCUUUGACCACAUCCACAUGGAGAAAUUUCCAUUACGUGAGACUGGCUUACAUUACUUGUACGUGUCGUCCUGUGCUUCAGAUAUAUUCCCCUGGAGAAGUUCCUAUCAUGAGAGGUGACUUGCAUUACAUGAACUUGUCGGAUCUGCACUGCACCCAAUCAUUUUUACCUUGCUCAUGUGCUG
This 84955-nucleotide long non-coding RNA is filed under the name Zea mays. RNAcentral describes it as "long non-coding RNA (ZMAY_LNC003538)". The record is from RNAcentral. Lineage: Eukaryota; Viridiplantae; Streptophyta; Magnoliopsida; Poales; Poaceae.